CUCAGACAAGUACAUUUUUGAAAGAGCUCAUGCCUCCUAACAUUAUUCUUGUUCAUGGAGAAGCCAAUGAAAUGGGAAGGCUCAAACAGAAACUUAUCACAGAGUUUGCUGAUGGCAAUACCAAGAUAAUCACCCCAAAGAAUUGCCAGUCUGUUGAGAUGUAUUUCAACUCUGAAAAAAUGGCAAAAACCAUUGGAAAGCUGGCUGAAAGGACCCCGGAUGUUGGUGAAACUGUCAGUGGUAUACUGGUGAAGAAGGGCUUCACUUAUCAAAUCAUGGCACCUGGAGAUCUCCAUGUCUUCUCACAACUAUCAACUGGAAAUAUUACUCAGAGGAUUACCAUUCCUUUUUCCGGUGCAUUUGGUGUGAUAAAGCACAGGCUUGAGCAGAUUUAUGAGAGUGUGGAGUCUGGAACUGACGAGGAGUCUGGGUUUCCAACAUUGCAAGUGCAUGAGCUGGUAACAGUGAAACAAGAGUCUGAUAGACAUAUUUCACUUCAUUGGACUGCUGACCCCAUAAGUGAUAUGGUGUCUGAUUCAAUUGUAGCUUUGGUUUUGAACAUCAGCCGGGAGGUUCCUAAGGUAAUUGUCGAGUCAGAGGACAUAAAAUCUGAGGAAGAAAAUGAGAAAAAAGCAGAGAAAGUGAUUUAUGCCCUCCUUGUUUCACUUUUUGGAGAUGUGAAACUUGGAGAGAACGGGAAGCUGGUCUUACGUGUUGAUGGGAAUGUGGCAGAGCUUGACAAACAGAGUGGGGAUGUUGAGAGUGAGAAUGAAGGUCUCAAGGAACGAGUUAGGACAGCAUUUAGGCGAAUACGAAGUGCUGUGAGGCCAAUCCCGCUCCCGCUCCCUGCACCUGCAUCUUAGCUUUUCUCUUUCCUUUUCCUUCUUGUUUCAACAUGUUUCUGACCUUCGAGAAUAGAUUUUGUUUCUAUUGAGCACUAAUUUCUAAUUUAUCCUCUGUUUCCGUAGUAAUUUUAUGUUUGAAUGCAUCCUGCCUUGAGGUUGCCUCUUAUUUUAGUCUCGUGCCUCAAUGAUUUUGCUCAUUGCUGUAGUUUGGACUUAUCCUACCAAGGGAUAGUUCGAUUUCAAAUUAGUGCCUUAAAAAAUCAGUGUCUAAAAAUAUAAUUGAAUAUUUGCUGCAUGCAAGUUGUAAAUAGUCAGAUUUCUAACCCUUUUUUCCAUGCGAGAAUUGCUGUCGUGACUUGAUUGUAAUCUUGAAGUGCAGGACUAAUUGCUAGUUCAGUUGAUUUUAUUCUUGAAAUGCAGGAUUAAUUGCUUGUUCAGUCAGAUUAUAAAUCCGCGCUUCAAAAAAAUCAGUUUCUAAUAAUAUGAUUGAAUGUUGGUUGCAUACAAGUUGUAAAUAGUCAAAUUUGUAACCAUUGUUUCCAUGCGAGUGUUGCUAUCAUUACUUGAUUUAAUUCUUGAAGUUCAAUUGACCGUUUAAUUUAUGGGAUUGAUUGCAAUCAUAGUUAUUAAACCCGGUUCGGGAGUUGACUCGGCCAAAGAGCCGGGUCCCGGGUUUUAUGGGUUGACCCGGGUUAACCCAGGUCAACCCAUAAAACCCAUGUUAUUUAUGGGGUCAGGUGAUUAAAGAAAGAAAUGGAAAAGGAAAGCAAUUAUAAAGAGGUGAAGUGGGACCCAAUGUGGCAGGGCAUAGGCAUGGGAGAGGGUGACGUUAUUGGUUGUUGGUUGUUUUGUGCAGAGAUCUCUUAAUCUCAUCACCAUCUCCUCCUACCCUCUCUGGCUCCUUGACAUGCUUUCCCCUGGGGUGAAGCACAGUCCUUGCUCCUUACGCACCCAUGCUCUAAAGCUUAAAAACACCACACGAAUCCUCUUUCUUUUACAUCUUUUCCCUGCAAAUUCCUCUGGUUUCUACAUGCUUGAAAACAUUAGCUAGAGAGAGAGAGAUAUGUUAAAGACUUGACGGUGAUAAGAAAGCCUGUGAUGCUGGUAUUGUACCUAUUGCCUCACUUUCUCUUGAAAUUGCGAGUUUCGUCCAGUUUAAUCUUCAAUUUUCUUCAGGUUACAGUCAUCAAUCGUCAGGCCAGAAAGAAGAAAUGGAACCCAAUGCCAACCCUCAAGAUCUCCAAACCCAGAUCGACCUGCAAUCAUAUCAAGCGAACCACCUCCAAAACGCCGGGUCUCAUCCGGGUUCGCCCGGGUCAUGGGUCGACCCGCUGGGUCGACCGGGUUUUGCCGGGUUGUUGCACCGGCCGGUCUUUUGACAAACCCGGACCGGUCUAGCCACCGGGUCGACCCGCCGGGCCGGUCCGAGUUUAAUAACUAUGAUUGCAACAUCUUUGGUAAUAGGAAUUUGUGAUUGGGUGAUUUUACCAGAGAGAGAGAAAAAAGCAACACCAUUGACGGUGAAUCAGUGGUGGAGAAGAAACACGUGUUAUCUGGUCAGGUAGGCACCACUUAGAGGAGUCCUUGGAAGCUACUAUAUGGUCAUAUAUCUUGGCUGCGCAUGCUGCCAAAAUUUUCUGGAGCCCCCAUACACCUCUAGUUUAAUAAUUUAAAUAAUAUUAUAUAAUUAGUAAAAAAUGCAACAACUCUUUUCUUAAUUCGAUAAUUAAAAAAAAAAAGAGCAAAAGCAAAAUACAUAAAUAUCAUUGCACAUUUGAAUUUUUUUUUUUUUGUCUUCAAGAGGUAAGUUCAUGAAUUCAUUGUAUAAUUAAAGCUGAAAUGCUAAAAAUACCUCCAAGUGAUAGGUAUAUAUCAUUUUUCUGUAAGGGUAAAAAAACUAUUAUAUUGUGCUAAAAAAUUAUGUGAAGACCAAUCCUCCGUCAAUGAAUUCAGCAAUGCCAAUUGAAUCCCCGUGAAAAUAUAAAACGCCCUCAAAAGCAACAUCUUUAAGUUUUGUGAAGAAGAGCUUAACAUUAUUACAAUCUACAAUCUACAGUGCUAUAAAUCUAAGUCCACGGUUAAAUAUUGAUGCCUUUUAGUUUUUUUUUUGUAAUGAUUUAAUUAUCACAUUCUAUUUUGUAUUUUAUUUUCCUAAGAUUUUGAUAUGAUUUGUAUGAUUUGAUAUUUACGGGGAGGGAUUUAAACUUUCCUAUUUUUAUGGUCAAUCGGAAUAUUAGCUUGCCUUUAAAUAGUUAAAUUUAUGAAUGCAUCCAAUAGUGUGCAUGAUAAUACACACACCUAGAUAAUGUUUUCUCAUGGUUCAAGGUGUCACAUUAUUCCUUUUUUUUUUUUGACAUAGUUAGCUCUAGCAUGAGCAUCAACAAGCUAUAGUGAGCUGGAUUUCUAUCCAAAGAGUUUAAUGAAGAAGAACAGUAACGUAUAGUAUGCUAUCCAAUGGUAGUAAUGAGUUAAAAGAGAGAGAAGAAAGAGGAAGAAAGAGACGAGAGAGGAGGGAGAGAAAGAAACUAAUUUCAUCAUAAUUUUUUCCAGCAAAAAAUGUUGUUACAUAUAAGGUACCGUUGUCUAACAAUACUAUUCCUUUAAUCUAGGCCAACCUGUGGCAACAAUUAUAACUAAUAAAUAAAAAUAAAACGCUACAUUGAAGAUGGGAUAAAUGAAACUUAAAAUAAGGACAAAACAUUGUGUUGAAAUGGGUAAGUGAAAUGCUAUGUUUUCCUUUGUUUUUUUAAUUAAAAUUAUAAUGAUUAUUUUUUUUGAAUCAAUCAACUCUAAUUCCCUUUUUUUUUUUGCGUCUUCUUUUUUCAAUAAUGCACAUAACAAUUUUUCAGUAAUCAAUCAACCCUAACUCUUUUUUUUCGGCAUCUUCUUUCUUCAGUAAUGCACAUAACAAUUCUCCCUUCAUAAAAAUACUUUUGUUCUCAAGGGGAAAUGUUGGAAACCUCAGAGAGAACUCUUCAAGGAACUCCUAUAUGGCUUCAACUGGAGGUGAAUUCUUCCAUAAGAUCAGGACCUGAGUGGUUGCACGAUUGUGAUGCUUCACCAUUCUUCUAUUCAAUAUUGCUUAAGGUUAGGGUGUUAGGCUAUCAUGUAGUUUAGGUAAAUCAUCGUAUAUUCUUUUACACCCCACAUGCUUCUUUAAUUGUGAUACAUGGAAAACUGGGUGAAUUAUGGCAAUAGGAGUAGGCAUAGUUUGUAAGCCAUUGUCCCAAUACGUUCAAUUACCUGAUAUGGACCAUAGAAUUUAGGUGAUAUUUUGUGUGAUUCUCUUGUAAUCACUUACCUCUGUUUGUACAAUUAUAGUUUAAGAUAAACCCCCUUACCUACAACAAACAUCCUUUCAUUUAUUUUUUUGUUAGCCUAUUGGAUCAUCCUAUAUUGUGCCACCUUGAGAUUAGUUUUGAUAGAUUUCAACAUGUUUUUCUUUUAUAUGAGAAGUGCAUCCACAACUUCAAUAUUAGAAUCCUUUAGCAAGUAAAUAAUAUGAAUAGAAGGCAUAUGACCGUAAAGUAUUUCAUAUAGUGUAGAUUUAAUAGAAGUAUGAUAAUGUGUAUUGUACCACUAUUCAACUAAGGAUAACUAUGUGGACCAUUGACUAGGAUUAACACCUAACAUGCACCUCAAGUAGUUUUCUAGGCAUUUAUUGGUUGCUUCUGUUUGCCUAUUAAUCUGGGAUGAUAUGUAGUAAAGAAAUACAAUUCAACCCCUUAUUGGGCAAAUAGAUGCUUCCAAAACUGACUUAGAAACACCGGGUCCCUGUCACUGAUACAACCAUAUUAUUUGAUAGUUUUACCCAUAUUUACCUAGUAUUUUACCUAUGUUUUAUAUAUAAAAUACCUUGAUAUUAUUUGUUUUAUGUUUUGAAGGCACUUUUAGAUGUAAGAUUAAAAAAGAAAUAAAUUGGAGACAAUUCAGAUCAUGUUUCAGCCCGUGUCGAACAUUGACAGAUUGAUCUCCGAUCGAUGUUUUGUGCAGAGCUUGAGCUCUAGAGGUCGAAAUGAAGUGAUUAUAGUGGCAUUAAAAAGAUAACAUCCAUACUUUUAUAUACAUAUAUGGCAAGAAAAAUAAAAAAAGAAAGAGCAUGAAAAUUGCAGUUUUUAAAGACAAAUCUUGCAUUCGGCCAUUUCGACUUGAAUAUCUUGAGUUAGAGAAGUCCAUUUGAUACAAACUCAAUUGUUUUGGAUUUUUGACUCGAAGACCUACUAGCCUACCAAGUUUUAGUAGAAAAAAGAGCUCAUAUGAGGGCGAUAUGAUUUUUUUAAGACGACUCAUAAAUUCUACCAGCAGACAGGUUUUGUGAAAAAACAAGUCCAAUUUACUUCCCAAACGUUCAAACCGACAUCCAAAUAUUUAUUUGGGAAAUUUAACUUCUCUAAGUUCAAAUUCAAAGCUUGAAGAUUUUAUGCAAGACUAUUUCUUUUUUUUUUAUAUAGAAAAAUAGUUAUUGCAUUACUUAAAUGUAAAUUGUCUACUUAGAAAAUAAUUAUUUUAUAGGGAAGUAGGGAUUAGAGUUUCCUAUCAAAUAAAAAAAAAGAGAGAAAGGAAGGGAGGGGCGACCAAAAAGAGAAGAAAAACUCCACCCUUUCCUUCUAUACCUGAAAUCAUGUAUUCAUCUUUUCUCUUAAUUAUUUUUUGAUAGAUAUGUAAGGUUAAGUUCUUUUUCUUAGUUGCAAGGACAUAAAAACCUUCGGAUUUCAAGAAUUGUGAGAUCUAUUUUACAUUUUCUUUCCAGUUUAUAUGAUGAGUAUGCUUGUUUUUCUAUGCUUAUUUCCUAUAAUUGCUUAGUUUGAUUAUUAGAGCGAACUCUAAGUUAUUAUUCUAACGAAUCUAUUGCUAAAUUUGCUAUUAAAACUGGAGUUAUGAUAUCUAAAUUUAUGAAGCAACUAAGUUUAAUAAUUUUGAAAAAUCUAUGUUAUUAAUCUUAGAAAAAAUAUUCGAUCAAAUCAAACAUAGACUACAGACAGUUAUGUUGUCUAGAUUUAUCAACCUAUCUAGUUCUUAAGGUUGCCAUUGAAUUAAAUUACUAGUGCGGACACUGUGGUGAUUUAAUGGUUAUGGUUAGUUACACUGCAGACCGGUUAACUAACUAAUGUUAAGAAAAGAUAAAUAUUCAGAAUAUAAAUUGACGUAUCGUUUCAAUGAUCAGUUUUUAUUUAUGUAGAUAGACGUUUACUUGAGACCAAUGUUUUCUCUCUUGAUAAGUUUAAGAUUCAUUUAAUUUAGCUUGAUUGUUUUAUUCAGUUUACCAUAGCAUGACCUAUAUAACCUCACCCCCUCCCAAUUUCAUAUCAUCUAGCAUAAAAACCUGAAAUAGAUCUUCCGCGUGGGAUCAAUCGUUUACUUGCUCUAUAAUAUCUUGUUUAUUUAAGCUAGGGUAAUUAAUUUGUGUGACCGCGAUAUCGUAACAGUCAAAUCAUAGAUGAAAACCCAUGUAAUUUAUACACAUUUUCAUGAAAAGAGUAGCCACAAUAACAACAAAAUGAGGGUGUGUGCUAUGGCUAUGAAAUGAACACACUUACCAAAUCUAUCCACCAUCACAUAAAUAACAUCCUUACCAUUAGACUUAAGGAGGCCUUCAAUAAAAUCCAUGUUUAUGUCAUUAAAAGGAGCUUGUGGAAUAGGAAGGGGUUGCAGUAAUAUUAGGCUGAGGACAUUCUUUGUUUUGUUCCUUUGGCAUACACUGCAUUCCUUCAUAUACUGCCUGAUGUGUUUAUGUUGCCUUUCCCAAUAAAAUAAACUCCCAACUCUUUUAACAGUAGCACUAACCCUAGAGUGACCCCUUAUAGAUGAAUCACAAUAGAUGUCAAUAAGUUUUUUUUGUAGCCCAAGAUCAUAACUAACUACUAUUUUACCUUUCAUGUUUAGGUGUCCAUUCUCCUAUUUAUAGUAAGGGUGAGAGUUGAGAUCCUUACAUAUAUCCUGAAUGAUCUCUUGUGUAUUUCUAUCCUUUUUUUAUGAUGCUUUAAUCUGAUUGAUUAGGGUGGUAAAAAAUGAUAAUACUGCUAUAGUAAACAUUUAUUCUUUAAGAUUCCUAGAUAAGGUAUCAGAAUCAAAGUUAUCUUUGCUCUUAUUGUAUUCAAUUUCAAAAUCCAAGCCCAAUAGUUUGGAAAUCUAUAAGUGUUGAGAAGGGAAUGUGAUCUUUUGUUCUAUUAGAUACUUCAAACUGACAUCAUCUAUUCGAACCUUGAAAUUCCUGCCCCAUAGGUAGUGUCUCUAUUUAAAGAUUGCAUAAAGUAUAGCCAUCAUUUCUUUUUUGUAGGUAGACAGAAUUUGUUGUCUUAAACCCAGAGAUUUGCUAAUGUAGUUGAAUAAUGUCCUUCUUGCAUCAACACUACCCCAAUUCCACUUCCCGAAGCAUCUGUUUCUAUAACAAACACCUUGUUUAAGUAAGGCAAGGCCAAGACUGGAGGCUGAUUCAUUAACUCUUUUAGCUUCUUAAAAGCUUUUAUGUUCUACAUAAAUGCAUCAUUCCUUAUCAACUGUGUCAAUGGUUUAUAAAUUAACCUAUAACCCUUGACAAAUUUCUUGUAAUAGCCAACAAGGACAAGAAAACUACGCAAUUGCUUGAUAUUUCAAGGUUCAGGCUAAUCAACUAUUGUCUUGAUCUUUUAGGGUCAGUAAAAAAUCCAUCUUUAGUUAUUAUAAAUCAUAAAUUUUAUUAGGUACUUCUUGAAUACUUGAUUCAUCAAACUUUGUAGUAGGGACAUUACCAGAAACUCAUAAUAUCUAUUAUGAGUCUUGAAUGCUAUUUUAAAAACAUCUUAUCUUACCAUUCUAACCUAAUAAUAACCAGAUCUCAUAUCCACCUUGGAAAACACUAUUAUACCAACCGACUCUUCUAAUAGUUCAUCUACUAAGAGUAUAAGGAGCUUGUCCUUAAUGGUUAGUUUAUUAAGGUUCUAUAUGUAAGGCCCGACCCACUCCCCCUUGCAGAAUAUUGUCCGCUAUGGCUCAGCCCAACCCGGCUUUCACGCCUCACGGUUUUGUUCCUGGCAGCCCACAGGCCCAAAAACGCGUCCUACAAGGUUAGGUACCAACUGCCUUAAUAUGCCAUGGCUCUAGACACUCUUCUUUCGAUGUGGGAUGUUACACUAUAGUUAACACAAAGCCUUUAUGAACCAUUCUUUUUCUUAACCAAGAUCACUAGAGAAGCAAAUGGAUGGUUGCUAGGCUAAAUAAUUCCUGAUUCCAAUACAAACCUCUUUUCCAUGUUAUUUUAAUUCUUUUUUUUUUUUAAUUUUUUGACUACUAUUUUUUUGUGUUAUUUUACUCUGUCCAUUUGGUAAAAGAGAGAAAAAAGAAAUAAAAGAAAAAGAAAAAAGAAAGCACUCUCUAACACAUUUUAGGUAGUCACCGUCCACCAAAACGUCUCCUCCAGCCUCCUUCCCUUCCAGAAGCCGGAAUCACGACCGCGCCACCAGUAACCGCAACUGCUGCAACCGAUGACAUGUGCUCUAAACGAGCCAAGGAUAUCUUGUCCAUAGAAGCACAACAACGUGAAGCUAUAAUGGGUUUGAAAGACGCAAAAGAGAGGAGUCGAAGGUCAUAAAAGUAGGAGUUUGGUAUAUACUUGUCUUCUAACAAUACUAAUAUAGGUACAUGUAUAGGUAUGUUAUCUCUCUUUGCUUGCUGCUGCUACUCUUUCUCUUGGUUUAUUUGGGAGAAAUUAAAAAAUAGUUUUCUUUUUCUGAAUCUUACAUGCUAGUAUAAUAAAACAUUUAUAGGUAGAUUAACUGAAUCACUAAUGUGUUUAGUACAAAAUUGUUUUUUUUUUUUUUAUAGAAACCAAACAGACUGCUGUUUUAGGUUAACUUCAGCUGUAAGUUGUGUGACAGGAUGCGUACUUCUUAAAUUGUUCUUUUUAUUUUUUAUUUUUGGAUUAGUAGCUUUGCUCCUUUUUUUUUUCUAUGAGAUGUGGUAAAUUAGAUUUUGCAAGAUUGCAUAUGGCUGACACCAACAUGACCAAAAAGGGUCGCCGAAACUGUACAUGAGAAGGGCGGGUUCAAUGUAGUAGUAGGUCAAGUAUCAAUGAUAAGAACAUAUAAGUUCAUAUGUUAUUAAUGUAGAUUUCCUAAGCGUUUAGUAUUGUGGUAAAGAUUGUUUUUUAAAUUAUGUUUUUAUUGGAAAUGCAUUAAAAUAAUUUUUUUUAAAUUUUUUUAACAUUUAAGUACAUCAAAAUAAUUUUAAAACAAAAAAAAAAUUUAAAAAAAUUUUAAACUUUUUUUAAAAAACAUGGCCUAUGGCGUUGCCAAACACAAAUUUAAAAGAGUGUUUGGGAACGCGGUGCAAACUAUGUUCCCUAAAAAUUCAAAAAAAAUCUUUUUUUUGGUUAAAGAUUAAAUUUUUUUGUGUGUUUUGAAUCAUUUUGAUGCGCUGAUCUCAAUAAUAUUUUUUUUAAAAUUAAAAAAACAUCAUUUUAAUUUAUUUUAACACGAAAAAUAUUUUAAAAAACAACUACAAUCACAAUUCCAAAGAGAUCCGGUUUUUAAAGUCAUCUUAUCUGUUUGAAUCAACCGUGUCUUAUCUCAUCUCUCUCUCUUUCCCCUUUGUCAUGUGACUACUUAGGACUUGAACAUAGGCCGAGCUAACCAUGAUUGGUGUAUUUUAAUUUGAUCCAUUAAUUAAAUCUUCAAGUAAAAGCAAAGAAAACCCCUUGAAACAGUGUCUCUGAUGUAGCGGAACUCCCAUAUCCACCUUAUAAUUUUAAAAAAGUUCGAGCUUGAAGCAUAAUCCCUAUAAACAUUAUAAGCUUUAUAUCAACUUCUGUAAGUUGUAUUCUCUUAUUUUAUAUAAUCAUUACAAAUCAGAAGCUGAGUGGGUUUAGCUGUAUAGGAGUUUUUCUACAGAGACAUAAAUACAGUUUGGUUUUCGGGCAGCUGAAGAACACAAGAAUGGCAUCAACAGGGCAAUCACAGUCACUAAAAAGAAGGGAUGCACCAGUAACAAGAGAAGGAGGGGAUCAGCUAACUCUAACCCCUUUAGGUGCUGGAAAUGAAGUGGGUCGAUCCUGUGUUUACAUGUCAUUUAAAGGCAAGACAGUAUUGGUAUUGCUUCCCUCCCUCCUUCCCUCUAUGCAUUUUGUUGUUUUUCAAUUAUGCCAUUUUAUACUAAUUUACUAUUGGUAAUUCUUGAUCAUGCUGGAUCAAAUUCAAUGAAUGUAUUUUGUUUAUUAAUUUAUGUUUUUGUUGUCGAAUUAUGCCUAUGUUAGUUUGAUUGUGGAAUUCAUCUGGCUUAUUCGGGUAUGGCUGCUUUGCCUUACUUCGAUGAGAUUGACCCUUCCACUAUUGAUGUACUUCUCGUUACACAGUAUGUAUUUCUUCACCUUCUCUUGCUAAGUCUCCUUGCUUGGCUAUUGUAUAUAUGUAUAUUGAUUUUCCAUUCCAUGAGGCAAUAUUUUGUUUCUCACUAUUAGUUUCGUAAAUGCUAGUUUUUUCUCUCACUGAAUGCUCCCUUGAUUUGACCUUGCUUGCUUUUUUGUUUGUUCAUUUUCUUGUCAAAAGAAUACUUUGAAGAGAUAUCUCCUAUGAUGAUGUAGUAAGAUUGCAUGAAAUUUUUAGCUGCGAGAGAUCAACUUGUCCAAGGAAGAACAUGAAAUUGUUUCAGAAUUAGAGAACACUCAGCUCAGAAGUCAGAUAUACAAGUAUUGAGAAAGUUAGUGUUAGGGUAUUUUGGUCUAAUAUUUGGGACGAUUUUAUUGUGACAAUACAAGUUGGGAAGGAGUUUAAAUAUUGUGAGAAAAACCGCAUGAUGCAGUUCCUUAGGUGCUUGAACUUGCAUUAUUAGGGCCAUUUGAUAGGCAGUGGCUAGGUUCCUCAUCAGUAGAAGUUAGCCAAGUCUGUUAUAAUGCUGGACUUGACAAUAAUAUAAAUUGAAACAGUGAAACUUAAACUUGAUGCUUUGUCAACAAGAGAGGGCAGCCUGAACUUUCUUACCUCUAUAAAAAAUUAUCAGUAGUAUUCUUGAUGUGUGCUGGGAACUUUAUACUCUUAACUGGAUCUAUGCAGUUGUAGAGAAGUAUAGAUGUAAUGAGAUGUCUGAUAAAGUUUUGUUGGAAUUUGAAGUGUCAUAGACUCUUGAUAUCUAUAUUUUAAUUAUUCACAUGCUCCUUGUUGCAAGAAGAUGAGUGAUCUUCUAAGAAAUAGGUUAGUGCUCGUGAGGUUUAUUGCUUAUAAUGGGAACCACAAUAGAACAGUGCUGAAAAUGCAUGCAAUUGGGGAGUGAAAGCAAUCCACUUUCCGGCUGAAGAAAUCAUUUAGGAAAAUCUUGAUUAUCUAUGAUAUAUUAUAAUAAUUUUUUUUUUUAAUGUGAUUAAAUAUCAUAAAGUGUUCAACAAGAAAGCAAAACAAUAAAAGAAUAUAAAUUAUUUCUACUAAUUAAUUAUGUUGAAUAUUAAUGUGAUUGCAUAUUAUGCAAUGAUUCAAAAAAUGAAAAUAUUGAAAAAUCAUUGUAUCACAUUGGUUGGGAAAUAAAUAUGCUCCAUUUGCUUGAAUUUCAUUUAAGGUGUCAGGAAACUCUACUUGGUUUCUAUUUUUUUUUUGAGAAUUCUUUCUGUUACAUUAAUGAAGUCAUAAGGGCCUCUUGGAUUUUAUUUUAAACAAAUAAAAUCAAUACUGUGUUUUCUAUAUUUUUUCAAUCAAAAUUUUUAGGCCUCUCUAGUUUUUCAAUCAAAAUUUUUAGGCCUCUCUAGUUUUUUCUCAUCAAUCAUUGGGAGUGAUGCUUUCUUCCUGCAGCUUUCACAAGGUUUGUUUUUUUUACUGAUUUCUACAAAGUUAUUGUGUGUAUCUUUCACUAGGAUCAAUCUAACAUGUUCACUCUUUAUCACUAGGAUCAAUCUAACAUGUUCACUCUUUAUCAGACCACAUUCAGAGGUCGAGUUUUCAUGACUCAUGCAACAAAGGCUAUCUACAAGUUGCUUUUGACUGAUUAUGUAAAAGUGAGCAAGGUUUCAGUGGAAGAUAUGUUGUUUGAUGAGAAAGACAUAAACCGCUCAAUGGAUAAAAUCGAGGUCUGUGUUUAUGAAUUUUUGCAUUCUCUUGUUUACAUCUAUCCGCAUCCUUUUUGUUCUUCCAGAAACUUGAUCCACUUCGUUUACCUUCCUUCUAAGCAAUAGCUUGGAAAAAUUUUUGUUUAUUAUAUUUGGCUUGGCAUUAUGUUGUGGCCCCAAAGUCAGGGGCUCAGGAAUUCAGCUUAUUGGUUAUUCUUCUUUAUCACCUCCUAUCCAUGUUGAAUUAAUUGCUCUAGAUGAAAGGUCUGCGUCUUCUGGAAUUUAAAGUGUUUCAAUCUUACAUUUGGUGUUGUGAAUUUUGCUGUCUAUGGAUUUCUUAGCUUUCAUUCUGUUUGAGUUUGGCAUUGUUAGUUGUUGGCUUCUCAUUUGAGGUUUGCAUGUUUCGCUUGGAAACUUAGGACCAAUUUAUAUGCAUCUGAUAAUUAAGUUAUGCCUUUCUUUUUCCAGUAGUGAUCAAUCUAAGUUGAUUCCACACUUAAGUUGCAUUUGGAAUACUCUAUUGCCUGAUUAAUCAAAGAGCAUAUUCAAGUAGUUGUGGUUGACAGCCAUGUAUCUUUUUUGAACUAUGAGAGUUUGGGUCAUAUUACAGCGAGUGCCAUCUCACUCUCUAUCUUCCUGCACAUGUAAGAUUUUAGUGAUUAGUAAUAAGAUAACAGUAAUUCAACAACAAAAAAAAAAAGAUAAAGAUAAAGAUAAAGGAAAAUUUUAUAAGCCAAGUGGGAACCUUCUGGUAGGCAUACAGGGCCCCUGCCCUAGUACAGUUAAGCAGAAAGGUUUGGUAACAACUGGAUGAAAAUUUAUUUAUUUUUUCCCUUGUUUGUUCGAAGAAAGGGUGCUUGUUCCAAAAUGGUAGUUGCUUAUCUUUUUCUCAAUAUAGCAUCUCUUUUGGUAAGCAUUAUGCUAUGCUUGCCAUUUUAAGUUGAUAAAUCUGUCCGUGACCGAUCCAUAUGAGGUAAUGUUUGGGCUGAUUAAAAGAUGUUUUCACAAUUAUGAAAUAAUAAUAAAAAGUAUUUAAGUUUUGGUAGCAUUCUGAAAAUACAAUCCUAUGGAGCCAAUUCAAAGCGAGGAUUUCUUUUUUCUUUUGAUUUUAUUUCCAUCCUGUAGCACAAUCAUGAUCCAUGAGUGCAAGUGGUCAAAACCAUUGAGAGAUUGCAGAGGGAAAGAGAGGAUAUCACUUUUAUAUAUUUUUCUUUUCAUACAUGGACUGUUAAUUCUAAUCCCUGACACUUUUGUCAAGGUUGGGUGCAUGUGUUUGCAUUUUUGUCUUUUUUUGUGAGCAGAUCUGCUGGUGUUUGCCAGGUCUUAUUUUCCUUAUGAUGGCCUAGCUUGUAAUCUUCCUUUGUCAUCCUCUGUUUAACUUAAGAAUCCUUAAUUUCAUUAAUGAUUUUUGUAAUUGCAGGUUAUUGACUUCCAUCAGACUGUGGAUGUUAAUGGCAUUAAAUUUUGGUGCUACACUGCUGGCCAUGUCCUUGGGGCUGCCAUGUUCAUGGUAGAUAUUGCCGGUGUUCGAGUGCUGUAUACUGGAGACUAUUCGCGUGAAGAAGAUCGGCAUCUUCGUGCUGCUGAGAUGCCACAAUUCUCUCCAGACAUAUGCAUAAUUGAAUCUACCUAUGGUGUCCAACUCCAUCAACCUCGACACAUUCGGGAGAAGCGCUUCACUGAUGUUAUCCACUCCACCAUCUCUCUAGGUGGUCGUGUUCUAAUUCCAGCAUUUGCCCUUGGCCGAGCUCAAGAACUCCUUUUGAUCCUUGAUGAGUAUUGGUCAAACCAUCCCGAGCUUCAUAACAUUCCCGUAUAUUAUGCUUCUCCCCUUGCGAAAAAGUGUAUGACUGUUUACCAGACAUACAUCCUUUCUAUGAAUGAAAGGAUCCGCAAUCAGUUUGCGGAUUCAAACCCCUUCAAAUUCAAGCAUAUAUCACCGUUAAAUAGCAUUGAAGAUUUUACUGAUGUAGGGCCAUCUGUGGUUAUGGCAACUCCUGGAGGACUGCAGAGCGGUUUGUCAAGGCAGUUGUUUGAUAUGUGGUGCUCUGAUAAGAAAAAUGCUUGUGUUAUACCUGGAUUUCUUGUUGAAGGGACCUUAGCUAAGACAAUCAUUAAUGAACCAAAGGAGGUACAGCUCAUGAAUGGACUGACUGCACCACUCAACAUGCAGGUCCAUUACAUCUCGUUCUCUGCCCAUGCAGAUUAUGCUCAGACAAGUACAUUUUUGAAAGAGCUCAUGCCUCCUAACAUUAUUCUUGUUCAUGGAGAAGCCAAUGAAAUGGGAAGGCUCAAACAGAAACUUAUCACAGAGUUUACUGACGGCAACACCAAGAUAAUCACCCCAAAGAAUUGCCAGUCUGUUGAGAUGUAUUUCAACUCUGAAAAAAUGGCAAAAACCACUGGAAAGCUGGCUGAAAGGACCCCGGAUGUUGGUGAAACUGUCAGUGGUAUACUGGUGAAGAAGGGCUUCACUUAUCAAAUCAUGGCACCUGAAGAUCUCCAUGUCUUCUCACAACUAUCAACUGGAAAUAUUACUCAGAGGAUUACCAUUCCUUUUUCCGGUGCAUUUGGUGUGAUAAAGCACAGGCUUGAGCAGAUUUAUGAGAGUGUGGAGUCUGGAACUGACGAGGAGUCUGGGUCUCCAACAUUGCAAGUGCAUGAGCUGGUAACAGUGAAACAAGAAUCUGAUAGACAUAUUUCACUUCAUUGGACUGCUGACCCCAUAAGUGAUAUGGUGUCUGAUUCAAUUGUAGCUUUGGUUUUGAACAUCAGCCGGGAGGUUCCUAAGGUAAUUGUCGAGUCAGAGGACAUAAAAUCUGAGGAAGAAAAUGAGAAAAAAGCAGAGAAAGUGAUUUAUGCCUUCCUUGUUUCACUUUUUGGAGAUGUGAAACUUGGAGAGAACGGGAAACUGGUCAUAAGUGUUGAUGGGAAUGUAGCAGAGCUUGACAAACAGAGUGGGGAUGUUGAGAGUGAGAAUGAAGGUCUCAAGGAACGAGUUAGGACAGCAUUUAGGCGAAUUCAAAGUGCUGUGAGGCCAAUCCCGCUCCCUGCAUCUUAGCUUCUCUCUUUCCUUUUCCUUGUUGUUUCAAAAUGUUUCUGACCUUCGAGAAUAGAUUUUGUUUCCGUAGUAAUUUUAUGUUUGAAUGCAUCCUGCCUUGAGGUUGCCUCUUAUUUUAGUCUCGUGCCUUAAUGAUUUUGCUCAUUGCUGUAGUUUGGACUUAUCCUACCAAGGGAUAGUUAGAUUUCAAAUUAGUGCUUUAAAAAAUCAGUUUCUAAAAAUAUAAUUGAAUAUUUGCUGCAUGCAAGUUGUAAAUAGUCAGAUUUCUAACCUUUUUUUCUAUGUGAGAAUUGCUGUCGUGACAUGAUUUUAUUCUUGAAAUGCAGGAUUAAUUGCUAGUUCAGUCAGAUUCUAAAUCUGCGCUUCAAAAAAAUCAGUUUCUAAUAUUAUUCUAUGUGAGAAUUGCUGUCGUGCAUGCUGGUUGCCUAUAAGUUGUAAAUAGUCAGAUUUGUAACCAUUGUUUCCAUGCGAGUGUUGCUUUCAUGACUUUAUUUUAUUCUCAAAGUUCAAUUGACGGUUUAAAUUAUGGGAUUGAUUGCUACAUCUCUGGUAAUAGGAAUCUGUGAUUGGGUUAUUUUACCAGCUUAGAUGAGAGAGAAAAGGAGAGAGAGAGAGAGAAAGCAACGCCAUUGACGGUAAAUCAGAGGUGGAAAAGAAACAAGCGAUACAUGGUCGAGUAGGUACCGACUAAAGGAGUCCAUCGCCCCAUUGGAAGCCACUAUUUGGUCAUGUAUUUUGACCGGGCACGUUGCCAAAAAUUUUCUGGAGCCUCCACGCACCUCCAUUUCAAUAAUUUAAAUAAUAUUAUAAAAUUAGUAAAAGAUGCAACAACUUCUUUCUCAAAUCGAUAAUUACCCAAAAAAACCAAAAAAAAAAAUACAUAAUUGUUAUUGCACACCUUAUUCUUUUUUCUUUUUCUUUUUUGUCUUCAAGAGGUAAGUUCAUGAAUUCAUUAUAUAAUUAAAGCUGAAACGCUACAAAUACUUCCAAGUAAUAGGUAUAUAUCAUUUUUCUGUAAGGAUAAAAAAACCAUUACAUUGUGCUAAAAAAUUAUGUGAAGACCAAUCCUCCCUUGAUGAAUUCAGCAAUAUAAAACACUCUCAAAAGCAACAUUAAGUUUUGUGAAGAAGAGCUUAGACAUCAUAACAAUGUUCCAAUCUAUAAUGCUAUGAGUCUAAUGGCCAAGUUAAAGAUUGAAGCCUUUUAGUUUUUUUUUUUAAUGAUUUGAUUAUCGCGUUCUAUGUUGUAUUUUGUUUUCCUAAGAUUUUGAUAAUGGUUUAUAUGAUUUGAUAUUUACAGGGAGGGAUUCAAACUUUUGCAUGCUAAGAAUCCUAUUUUUAUGGUUAAUCGGAACUGUAGCUUGCCUUUGAAUAGUUAAAUUUAUAAAUGCAUCCAGUAGUGUGCAUGAUAAUACACACACCCACGUAACAUUUUCUCAUUGGUUCAAGGUGUCAUAUUAUUCCUUUUUUCCGACAUAUGUAGCCCUAACAUGAGCAUCAACAAGCUGUAGUGAAUUGGAUUUCCACAGCACUUACUUGAAGAGCAUUCAGAGGAAGAACAAUAUCGUAUAGUAUGCUAUCCAUUGGCAGUAAUGAGUUAGAAGAGAGAAGAAGAAAGAGGAAGAAAGAGACGAGAGAGGAGGGAGAGAAAGAAACUAAUUUCAUCAUAAUUUUUUCCAAUAAAAAAUGUUGUUAUAUAUAAGGUACUGUUGUCUAACAGUACUAUUCCUUUAAUCUAGGCCAACUCGUGGCAACUAUUAUAACUAAUAAAUAAAAAUAAAACACUACGUUGAAGAUGAGAUAAUGAAACUUAAAAUAAGAACAAAACAUUCUGUUGAAGUGGCUAAGUGAAAUGUUGUGUUUUCCCUUGUCUUUCUAAUUAAAAUUGUAAUGAUUAUCUUUUUGAAUCAAUCAACCCUAACUCCUUUUUUUUUUUUUUACAUCUUUUUUCUUGAGUAAUGCACAUAACAAUUCUGCCUCCAUAAAAAUACCUUUUUUAUAUUGGAAACCUUAGAGAGAACUCUUUAAGGAACUCCUAUGUGGCUUCAACUGGAGGUGAAUUCUUUUAUAAGAUUAGGACCUGAGUGGUUGCACGAUUGUGAUGCUUCACCAUUCUUCUAUUCAAUAUUGCUUGAGGUUAAGGUGUUAGGAUAACAUGCAGUUUAGGUAUAUCUUCAUAUACUCUUUUACACCUCACAUGCUUCUUUAAUUGUGAUACAUGAAAAACUAGGUGGAUUGCGGCAAUAGGGGUAGGCAUAGCUUGUAAGCCAUUGUCCUAAUAUGUUCAAUUACCUGAUAUGGACUAUAGAAUUUAUGUGAUAGUUUGUGUGAUUCUUUUGUAACCACUGACCUCUGUCUGUACAAUUGUAGUUUAAUAUAAACCCAAUUUCCCAUAACAAACACCCUUUUAUUUAUUUUCUUGUUAGCCUGUUGGAUCAUCCUAUGUUGUGCCACCUUGAGAUUAGUUUUGAUAGAUUUCAACAUGUUUUCCAUUUAUAUGAGAAAUGCAUCCACAACUUCAAUAUUAGAAUCCUUUAGCAAGUAAAGAAUAUGAAUAGAAAGCAUAUGACCGUAAAGUAUUUCAUAUAGUGUAGAUUUAAUAAAAGCAUGAAUAGAAGGAUAACUAUUUGGACCAUUGACUAGGAUUAGCACCUAACAUGCACCUCAAGUAGUUUUUAGGCAUUUAUUGAUUGCUUCUGUUUGCCUAUUAGUCUGGGGAUGCUAGGUAGUAAAUAAAUGCAAUUCAACCUCUUAUUAGGCAAAAUGGCAAAUAGAUGCUUCCAAAACUGACUUAGAAACACCGGGUUCCUGUCACUAAUGCAACCAUAUUAUUCGAUAGUUGUACUCAUAUUUGCCUAGUAUUUUGCCUAAGUUUUAUAUAUAAAAUGCAUUGAUAUUCUUUGUUUUAUGUUUUAAAGGCACUUUUGGAUGUAAGAUUCAAAAAGAAGUAAAUUGGAGACAAUUCAGACCAUGUUCCAGCCAUGUCAAACAUUGACAAAUUUGACCUUCGAUCAAUAUUUUGUGUAGAGCUUGAGCUUUAGAGGUAAAAAUAAAGUGAUUCUAGUAGCAUUAGAAAGAUAAUAUCCAUACUUUUCCAUACAUAUAUGGCAAGAAAAAUAAAAAAAGAAAGAGCAUGGAAAUCGUAGCCUUCAAAGACAAAUCUCAUGUUUUGUUAGUAUUGACUUUCAGCCAUUUCGACUUGAAUAUCUUGAGUUAGAAAAGUCUAUUUGAUGCAAACUCAAUUGUUUUGGAUUCCUGACUCGAAAACCUAUCAACCUACCAAGUUUCAGAAGAAAAAAAAGCUCAUAUGAGAGAGAUAUGAUUUUUCUAAGAUGACUCACAAAUUCUGCCAACAGACAGGUUUUGAGAAGAAACAAGUCCAAUUUACUUUCCAAACAUCCAAGCUAACAUCAAAGUCUUUAUUUUGGCAAUUUAACUUUUCCAAGUCAAAAGUCAAAGCUUGAAGAUUUUAUGCAAGACUAUUUCUUCUUUUUUUAGAAAAAUAGUUAUUGCACUACUUAAAUGUAAAUUGUCUACUUAGCAAAGGAUUAUUUUGUAGGAAAGUAGGGACUAGGGUUUCCUAUCAAAUAAAAAGAAAGAGAGAAAGGAAGGGAAGGGCGACCAGAAAGAGAAGAAAAACUUCACCCUUUUCUCUUAUACCCAAAAUCAUGUAUUCAUCUUUUCUCUUGAUUAUUUUUUCAUAGACAUGCAAGGCUAAAUUAUUUUUCUUGGCUGGAAGGACACAGAAACCUUUGAAUUUCAAGAACUAUGAGAACUAUUUUAUCUUUUCUUUUCAGUUUAUAUGAUGAGUAUGUUUGUUUUCCUAUGCCUAUUUCCUAUGAUUACUUAGUUUGAUUGUUAGAGCGGAGUCUAAGUUAUUAUUCUAACCAAUCUAUUGCUAGGUUUGCUAUCAAAACCGGAGUUGUGAUAUCUAAACUUGUGAAGCAACUAAGUUUAAUAAUUAUAGCAAAUCUAUGUAAUUAAUCUUAGAAAAAACAUUCGAUCAAAUCAAACAUAGACUGUAAACAGUUAUGUUGUCUAGAUUUAUCAACCUAUCUAGUUCUUAAGGCUGCCAUUGAAUUAAAUUAUUAGUACGGACACUGUGGUUAUUUAAUGGUUAGGAUUAGUUACAUUGCGGAUUGGUUAACUAACUAAUGUUAAGAAAAUAUAAAUAUUCAGAAUAUAAAUUGACAUAUCGUUUCAAUGAUCAAUUUUGAUUUCUGUAGGUGAACGUUUACUUGAGACCAAGAUUUUCUCUCUUGAUAAGUUUCAGAUUUAUUUAAUUUAGCUUGAUUAUUUUAUUUAGUUUACCAUAUCAUAGAUUAGAUAACCUUAAAACCCCCCUAAUUUCAUAUCAUCUAGCAUAAAAACCUGAAUUAGAUCUUCCUCAUGGGAUCGACCCUUUGCUUGCUCUAUAAUAUCUAGUUUAUUUAAGCUAUGGUAAUUAAUUUGUGUGACCAUGAUAUCGCAAUAGUCACUGACAAUCAUAGAUGAAAACCCAUGUAAUUUAUACAUAUUUUUCAUGAAAACAGUAGUUACAAUAACAACAAAAUGGGGGUGUGCUAUGACUAUGAAAUGAACAUACUUACCGAAUAUAUCUAUCAUCGCAUAAAUAACAUUCUUACCAUUAGACUUAAAGAGGCCUUCAAUAAAAUCCAUGCUUAUGUCAUUAAAAUGAGCUUGUGGAACGGGAAAGGGUUGCAGUAAUUAAUAUUAGGCCGAGGAUAUUCUCUGUUUUGUUCCUUUGGUAUACCCUAUAUUCCUUCAUAUACUGCCUAAUGUGUUUAUGUUGCUUUUUCUAAUAAAAUAAACUCCCAACUCUUUUAAUAGUAGCAUUAACCCUAGAGUGACCCCUUAUAGAUGAAUCAUGAUACAUAUCAAUAAGUUUCUUGUGUAGCCUAAGGUUAUAACUAACUACUAUUUUACAUUUUCCUGUUUAGGUGACCAUUCUCCCAUUUAUAGUAAGGAUGAGAGUUGGGAUCCUUAUAUAUAUAUCCUGAAUGAUCUCUUGUGUAUUGUUAUCCUUUUCCCAUGAUGCCUUAAUCUGAUCGAUUAGGGUGGUAGAAACUGAUAAUAUUGUCAUAGUAAACAAUUAUCCCUUAAGAUUCCUAUACAAGGUAUCAAAAUCGGUGUUAUCUUUGCUCUUAUUGUAUUCAAUUUCAAAAUCCAAGCCCAAUAGUUUGGAAAUCCAUAAGUGUUGAGAAAAGAAUGUGAUCUUUUGUUCCAUUAGAUACUUCAAAUUGACAUGAUUUGUUCGAACCUUGAAAUACCUACCUCAUAGGUAGUGUCUCUAUUUAAAGAUUGUAUGAAGUAUAGCCAUCAUUUCCUUUUUUUAGGUAUACAGAAUUUGUUGUCUUAAACCCAGGGAUUUGCUAAUGUAGUCGAAUAAUGUCUUUCUUGCAUUAACACUACCCUAAUUCCUCUUCCCGAAGCAUCUGUUUCUUUAACAAACACCUUGUUUAAGUAAGGUAAGGCCAAGACUGGAGGCUGAGUCAUUAUCUCCUUUAGCUUCUUAAAAGCUUUUAUGUUUUACAUAAAUGCAUCAUUUCUUAUCAAUUGUGUCAAUGGUUUAUAAAUUAACCUAUAACCCUUGAUAAAUUUCAUGUAAUAACCAGUAAGGCCAAGAAAACUAUGCAAUUGUUUGAUAUUUCAAGGUUGAGGCUAGUCAACUAUUAUCUUGAUCUUUUUAGGGACAAUAAAAAAUCAAUCUUCAGUUAUUAUAAAUCCCAAAUACUUUACAUGUUUACUGCCAAAUAUGCACUUACUUUACUUAGCAACUAGUUGAUGCAUUUUCAUCAAUUCAAAUAUUGUCUUUAAAUUUUCUACAUGUGUUUCCAUAUAUUGACUGUAAAUGAACAUGUCAACAAAAAACACUAACAUAAAUUUUCUUAAGUACUUUUUGAUUACUUGAUUCAUCAAACUUUGGAAUGUAGCAGGGGCAUUAAUUUGGCCAAAGUGCAUUACAAGAAACUUAUAGUGUCCAUUGUGAGUCUUGAAUGUUGUUUUAAUAACAUCUUGUCUUACCAUUCUAACCUGAUAAUAACCAGAUUUCAUAUCCACCUUGAAAAACACUAUUGCAUUAACCAACUUUUCUAAUAGCUCAUCUACUAAGGGUAUAAGGAGCUUGUCCUUAAUGGUUAGUUUAUUAGGGGCUCGAUAGUCAACACAAAGCUUUUAUGAACAAUUAUUUUUCUUAACCAAGAUCAUUAAAGAAGCAAAAGGGUUGUUGCUAGGCUAAAUAAUCCUUGAUUCCAAUAUUUCAGCAACCAUUUUCUCCAUUGUAUCCUUUUGUAUUUCAUAAUACUUGUAUGGCCUUAAGUUAAUAGGUUGAGCUCUCUCUUUAAGUGGUAUAGUGUGAUCAUGACCUCUAGUAGGAGGUAACCUCAUUAGUUCAUUGAAUAUCUCUUUGUAGUUUUUUAAUAGAUCUUCUAAGACAACAAUCCUCUCCCCAACAGGAGAUGGUGUGGAUAACAUGGAACACACCAUGUUAUCAACAUCCUCUAGGAUCCUCAAGCUACACAAGCUUACCUCUAUAAAUUCUAAUGGACUAUCAAAUAAGCCACUCAACUGCUCAAACCUAAUAAUCUCUAUAAAUUCUAAUGGACUAUCCAAUAAGCCACUCAACUGCUCAAACCUAAUAAUUUAUAGUUGAGUAACUCUAUCUUCUUUAAGCACCACUUCUUUACCUUGCCAAGUAAAAGACAUUCAUAGCUCUUUGUAAUUGAUAUUAUAUUACCUAACACAACUAGUCAUUGAAAACCAAGAACCAUGUCAUAAUUGUUUAGAUCAACAAUGAAAACAUUUGGCACAAAGUUUUCUCCCUGUAUUUUCCAUUUGAAGUUCUUAUAUAUUAUAGUACAACACAUAGUUCCACCAUUUUUUACCUCAUCUGUUAAAGGUUUAAUUGAUAUCAUGUCAUAUUGUCUUUGUUGAUUCAGUACUUAAGAAAUCAUGAGUACUACCUGAGUCAAUCAGGAUGAACACUAAGUGUUUAUCUCUUCUGCCAUUGACCCUUAAGGUAUGGAAUCCCACUGUUUUUUCCAAUACAUUGAGGGAAAUAAAUAGAGUAAUGGUUUCUGAAUUAUUUUUCUCCACUUCAUUCUUAGCAUCUUCAUUGUCUUUUUUAUUUUCUAUUAUGCACAAUGAAUAUAGUUUCUUGUUUUUACAUUUAAGCCUAAGUGUAAACCUGUCACCACACUAGAAACAUAGGCCCAUGAAUAUGUUGAGUGUUUAUCUUUAUCAUGUGUUCAUAUUUUUUAGCCUGAUCCUUGGUAAUAGAGUAUAGAAAAUCCUCCAUUCAUUUCAGAUAUUGGGAUCAAGUUUUAGAAGACAUUUCAUCAAUCCGAAAACAAGGAACUCUGAUACCACUUGUAGUGAGUUGGAUUUCCACAUCUUCUGCUUGCAAAGUAUCUGAAGAGUUUAGUGAAGAAGAACGUUAAGGUACAAUAUGCUAUCUAAUGGCAACAAUGAGCUAGAAGAGAGAAAAAGAAAGAGGAAGAAAUAGAUGAGAGAGAAGGGAGAGAAAAAAACUAAUUCAUCAUAAUUUUUUCCACUAGUCUCUACAACAAAAAAAUAUUUUUUACAUAUAAGGUACUAUUGUCUAACAAUACUAUUCCUUUAAUCUAGGUCAGCAUGUGGCAAAAAUUAUAACUAGAAAACAAUAAUAAAACACUGUAUUGAAGAUGAGCUAAAUGAAACUUAAAACAAAGACAAAACAUUGUGUUGAGGCGGGUUAGUGAAACACUAUGUUUUCCUUUAUCUUUCUGAUUGAAAUUGUAAUGAUUGUUUUUUUUUAUAUUUUUAUCAAUCAACCCCAACCCCUCUUUUCGUGCAUGUUUUUUCUUCAAUAAUGCACAUAACACAGGCAUGGUAGCACUUCCAUAAAAGUAUGAUUGAUUUUAUAGGAAAAUAGAGAUAGCUCAUCUCUGAUAUGUCAAUAUUGGCCAAGCACCAUAACAUCAAGUCCCAAUGAUCCAUUUCUUAUUACAAAACCAAUCACUUUCAGUUAUUGUCAAAUUUUGGUCUUGCUUGUUUUUCACUACUUUUUUCUUGUAGGAUUAAUGACUUCAGUUGUAACCAAAAUUAUUGUGACAUCUUUUGGUACAUUUUGCUUUUGUAAUGCUUCCCUUCCUAAUUCUCCUCUCUCUACUUUAUAGGCCGUUAAAGGAAAAAAAACAAAUAUAUAAUCAUAAAUGAUGAAGAAUCAAACACCAAAAUUACAAAAAUACAUGGUCAUAUCUAGAACCCUCAAAACUCACUCCUACACUCUACACACUCGCUCCAAGACACUUCUUGUACCUAACAACAUGAUCUCUGAAAAAAAUCUAGAAUCUUUAAUUCAGGAUUGUUCUUAGUGGCUUCUAGCAUUUUACUAAUUUAGUGUUUCUUAUAAUAUUAGUUGUUAGGUUGGUUUUGGUUUUGGUUUAUUAAGAAAAUACACUAAAGUGUGAUAGUAAAAAAUAGCGAUGGUGUGGUGGUUUUAAGGUACCAUUACUUCCUCACCUAACCUAAAAUAGCGUGUUCUCUCAAAAGUGUAAUGUAUUGUGUGUGAAGGCACAAAUCCAUAUCCAAUAUACAUAUGUAUGACAGUUAUGGAAUAAAAUGCAUGCUAAAGUAAAAUGAAAAGGUAAACAAGCAUAAUAUACAAGGAUAAAAAUUAAAGACAAAAGACAAAGUUUAGUCCUAAAUUCUCCAGUAGAGUCACCAUUCUGUCACACCCGACAUUCCAACGACUCGUCGUCUUUCCUAAAAAAGGAAAAGAAUGGUCUCUUAUAUUGAGAUGAGGGAUAAAGUCUAAGAAUAUAUGAAAGGAGUCAUCGCCUAAUAUUAUAGUCACUAGAAAACUCUAACUAGUUUGUAGAGUUCUAAGGCAAGAGACUAGUUAUGUUAAAAAGAAUAUAUUAUCAUCCAAAAGCAUCAUACUUGAGGUAAGUUGCAUUGUUGACCUUGUAUUUUAUUUCUAAGAGUCUAUUGUGCAAAUUCCACUAGUAGUUCAUCUAUAUAGAUGAUAGCUAUUGCAAGUAAACCCUGAUGGAUGCUUAGUGUAAGCCUAACCAUUUUAAAGUCUAGUUCAUUUUUGCAACUCCCCGUUGUUAUCUUUUGAUAACACUUGGUCAAUUAACGUGUUUAAAUUAGUUACUAAUGUUCAUAACCUGCGACUAAUGGUCUAUCAAGUCAUGCUAGUGAAUAACCAAUGGGCAUAUAUUGGGUUCAAUGAACCUAACUCAAAUUCUAGAAAGGGUCGAUGAAUGAUAUUUUAUUAGGGUCAAUCUAUCCUAUAAUACCUAAAUUCACUCGUUAUAUGACUAAAUGAAGGUUUUAUGCUCCAAUCCUAUCCAAACAGUGACUACUAUGAGUUCAUCUAUUUUGGUUAGGAUCUAGUGACAUGAUGGUCCAUUUUUGGACUAGAAUCUUCACAAUGACUUUUUUGGGGUUCAUAUGCCAUUCGGUGUGUUGUUUAACAUUCAACUUUUGAGUUCCAUUUUUGUUUUUGGUUGCCUAUCAUCAAUGUUAGUACAUAGUAAGUGGAAAACCUCAUUCCCAUUGUAUUUAUUAAACAUGUAUUUGUGAAAUUUAUUUAAAAACCAAGACUCCUAUUUGUUUUGGUGAAUAUUAAGUGUAGAGACCUUAAGAUUCAUUUUAUUACCUUAAAAAAAUUAAAAAGUGUUGCUCAUUUUAGGGUCCAAAGCCAUGGCACGUGUAGAGUCUAUGUACCUUGAACACUAAAAUUGAACAACAAAAUAUUUUUGAGAAAAUCCACGGAAGAGCUACUCUCCUUUAAUACUUAAGGUAAUGGCCCACAUGGAUUUCAUUUAUCUAAGAUAUGUAGAGUGAAUAACAAAAAUAAUUUGGAUACAAUUCUUAAAAAUAAAGAUUGGUUACAUAUUCUUUUUUUAAAGUGUUGAAUGUCAGUCCAAUAGGCUUUUUUUUGUGGGUCGAAACUUAAUAGGCUGUAAACUUGUUUCAAGGCCCAAAAUGCAUAAGUGAUUUUGAUGCCUUUUGGAUUGAAAACUAAAAGUAAAUAAUUUGGAACUCUUUACUCAUUUUAGAUAGAUUCAAUUUUUGGAUAAAAGAUUAGUGUUGUAAUAUAUGGAUGAUCAAGGACACACAAAAAAUACAAGAUGCCAACUAAUUUAAAAGUCUUGAUUAAAUGCAGUUUUUUGAAAACAAAGGGAAAAAAAUAAUUUAUAAUUCAUAAUAUUUUCUAGAAAAUAUAUAGAUAUUAUAAAAGACGUAGUUUAGUUGGUUUGGGUUAACUCUAAAAAAUAAGAAAUGCAAAAAUAUAGAUAUCCAUACAAGCCAAGCAUCAUUCAUAACUACUAAAAAGGUAUAUCACCCUAAAUGAGUCCAUAUAGUUUGACCAACUAGGAAAUACAUAGCCAUAACAAGGAAAAAAAAUAAAAGAUGUACUUAGACUCAUAUGAUAAUAAACAUCAAUACCCCCACAUUCAUUAAUAUACACAAGAUAUAAAUUUCUCAACUUCAUCCAGUUCAUAAAUGGUGAACAAACCAAACACAUCAAACAUCAGGCCAUAAUUUUCCCCACAUAAUCCACAAAAAAUGAGCUCUUAGAUUUACAGACUAAUUUAUUAGGCUUAAGACAAGCUAAUAAUUGGUAGGAGCAAUAUAUGCAUUUAAAAGACCAUAUAACAAAAACUCACAAUAACCCAAACAUGCAUUAAAAACACAUAUAUGACCACAUACAUGUCAAAGAACUAAAAGUACAAACAUCAAACGAAAUGAAAUCAAUAAAGACAAAGAGAUAUACCUAGACCAAAGGUUGAUAGUUGAAUGGACAAGGAAAUGAAUACUUAGGUUUCAAAAAAAUAAUCGGAUUUAGGUCUAAAAACUCUAAUAAGACCCAUAGAUUAAUUAAACCAAAUGCCUCAAAAGACCUUAAAACUUGUCUUUAUUUUGAAAUUUUGAAAGAAUCUUUCAAAAGUGCCUCUCAUAAAACAUAUUUCUCUAUAUAAGACCUUUCUAUCUAAUUCUCUCAUUAUUCCUCUUAUACCCUAAAAGAACUCCUAUUAAUAGUAGGGAAUGGGGACUGACUUUACCUAGGGUUUAAGACAAAACCAACCGUAAGAUUACAACAACCAAAUCUGAUCAUUCACAGGAUAUAAUAAAGAAAGAUGUGUAAGGCUAGCUAGGGAAGUAUGAGAUCAAAAUGCUUUAUGCAAACAACCUAAACUCAGUGAUAAAGUUGUGGCAAAGUUUGGGACCGAAAUUGAUAAUCACAAUCCAGAGACUCUCUUGUAAAGUAAAGCACAAACGAUGCCAAUAUCCUGAUAGGACAAUGCCUAAAAUAAGCAAAAUGACUACGGGGAUAGGCUGGGUUUGGGAGAUAUUAAAAGACAACACAAUUAGGAUUCUUUUAAUUUUAGCUGCUAGGAUUGUGAGAUUUCUUGAAAAGAAAACAAAGAAAUGAGGAGAUGGUUAUAUUCAUGCCUUUGAAAUGACAUCAUUUAGUGUUGCAAAUUUCCAAAGCAGUCCUCAAAUGUCAGCGAGUUUUUAUAGUUAAUCCUCCUUAGAGUUUUUAAUUUUUAUUUUAUCAUGCGUAAAAGUCAAAAUGAUCAAUUAAAAGAAUUCAAUUGAGUUGUUGAUCGAAUUUAAGGAUACUUCCUUAAUUUGUCUAUUUCUCUCAAAGGCCCUUGAACUUCAAAAUCCUUUUAAUUAAAGUUAAAAUCAGUUAUAUAAUAAAAUAAAUUUUCAAUUAAGCCCUCGAUUGAAUUAAUAUAACCUCCUAAAUUAUGCCAAAUUGAUAAUUUUGGUCUUUGAUCCUUUAAUUCUCUCAAUUAUAAUCAAUUUCAAAUUAAUCACAUCAUUGGAAAAAUUAUUGUGUCCAAUUAAAGCUUGGAAACUUUUGUUAAGUUAAUUAAAAAAUAUUUUUUUGGAUUUUUUUAUGUUUUUAAAAGUAUUUUUUGGCUAUUUUUGAAAAAUAAAUUAGGGGUAAAAUGGGUUAUAACAUGUACAAUAUGUACGUUGAAUAUAAGACAUAAGAGACAUAACAUUCUAUUUUUUUUAAAAAAAAACUUAAUAACCAUUUUAAUGAAAAAAUAUCACUUUGUCCCCUGAAAAAUAUCACAUAUAUUAUUUCAAGAUAAUUUUAAAAUUUAUACAAUCAAAUCCCUAUUUAGUUUUUCUAGGUCUAGAAUUGUAAGCCACUAUAUAAAUUACAUUCUAGUCUUUAAUUUUUAAAAUCUAUUUAAAAUCAGGUCUUACUUAAUUAAUCAUUCCAAUUUAUUUUUUUAUCAAUGAUUCUCAAUAUGCAUGAUCUAUUAGGUUUCUAAUAUAUCGGCCUAAAUAUAAAUCACAGUCCUAAAUAAAAUAAGAUUAAAUUAAUUAAAUAAUUUAACUUAUUAUCAAUUCAACAAUUGAUUGAUUUAUAUUUGAAUAUCAAACGAACCAUCUAACAACAUGUCAUAACCCCUCAAUAUAUAAAUUACAUUCUAGUCUUUAAUUUUUAAAAUCUGUUUAAAAUCAGGUCUUACUUAAUUAAUCAUUCCAAUUUAUUUUUUUAUCAAUGAUUCUCAAUAUGCAUGAUCUAUUAGGUUUCUAAUAUAUCGGCCUAAAUAUAAAUCACAGUCCUAAAUAAAAUAAGAUUAAAUUAAUUAAAUAAUUUAACUUAUUAUCAAUUCAACAAUUGAUUGAUUUAUAUUUGAAUAUCAAACGAACCAUCUAACAACAUGUCAUAACCCCUCAAAUAUUAGAUAAGUUAUAUGUGAUUUGACUUACCUUUACCAGUUUUUCAGUGUAAUUAUUAUCACUUUAUCAAGAAUGUUUUGAUUUAGACAUUGAGCAUGAAGUGCAUCUGCACUAUCAAAUCACAUUUAUUCUCAACACCAUAAUCAUUUAUUAUUGAAUAAAAUUUGAAACUUUUUUCAAAUCUCAUUCCACCUUACAUAAGGAUUUCACGAUCAAUAAUAUUUGAGAAUAUGUGAAAUAUUUUUCCUAAUUCAUUUAUGAUGAUGAAUCUUGUCUUGAUCACUUAGAUACCUUCAUAUAGUUUAUGAUAUAUAUAUAUAUAUAUAUAUAUAUAUAUAUAUAAUAUCUGCAUAUUUGUUAUUCUUGAUUAAGACAAUGUGUAGUUAGAAUUAAAAUAUAGUAUUCUCUAUAUACAAUAACUUAAUGAUAUCUAAGGAUCGCUUAUAUAAUUGUCAUGUAAGCCUUUUUAUAGACAUAAGAGAUAUCUCCAUAUGUAAUCCUCACCAGGUUAAUUUAGUGUAUAUGUCAUUUAAUAAGCGCCUAUAUAUUAGUUUCUAAUAUCCUUUAUACCUCAACUUAUGAGUACAACGAUUUUCUUUCAUAAAGAAAACAACAGAAUAUGUAUCGGUCUCAACAAUUUUAAUUAAUGUCUAAUCUUAAUAGAGCAUUAACCAGGAACAUUUAGAAACAAUGCUUUGAUGUAAUAGAAAUCAUCAUAAUUAUAACCGAUUUAUAAUUUUAUUUUCAAAGAAUUUUUGUCUCAAGAACUUUAUUUUUACUCUAGAUUCAUUAAUCUUACAUAAAUAAAUAUUAAAGAUAAAGAAUGCCUUUAUUAAUAAUAAAUACAUUUUGCAUGAACAAAGUUAGUAUCAUGUGUAACCAACUAAUUGCUAUAAGAUAUAUACACUAACAUGUUGUGUUCUUCAUUUCCAUUUAGAGAGCCCUCAUUUUAGUAUUAGAGAGAUUUACAUGUUGAUGAUAAGAUGCUCUUUCAGUAAUAAUCAUGGUUGGUUAAGUGGAUUUCUCAUAGGUGGUUAUAACCAUUGUAUAAUGCUGUUAAAUCUAUAAAAUAGACAUGUGUAUGGUUAUGUAUGGGAUACAUAUGCACAAAAAGGCUCAUCUAUUGUAAGAUCUCACAUCGGAAACGAGCGUCCAAAGCCAGGACCUUAUAAGUGCAUGCUCACCUUGACUAGUAAGACACGUUUUGGGGUCAUGUGUGGCUGCCAAGAACAAAACCGUGAGGGGGACCUGGGUGGAAGCCCUGGAUUUGGGUGGACUGAGAGGCCCAAAGCGGACAAAUAUCUUGCUAGUGAGGUGGGGUGUUACAUUUGGUAUCAGAGCCAAGGACGGCUCGUCUUAAGAUGAGGGGAUUGUAAGAUCCCACAUCGGAAACGAGCGUCCAAAGCCAGGGCCUUAUAAGUGCAUGCUCACCUUGACUAGUAAGACGUGUUUUGGGGUCAUGCAUGGCUGCCAAGAACAAAACCGUGAGGGGGACCUGGGUGGAAGCCCUGGAUUUGGGUGGACUGGGAGGCCCAAAGCGGACAAAUAUCUUGCUAGGAAGGUGGGGUGUUACAUCUAUGGUAAGGGAUGAGGACCCUAUUAGAACCAAUGAGAACAUAAGGGAUUGCAUAGAGACACUAGGGGUGUGUCUAGACUCUUAGUAUCCCCAUACAAUUCUAUGUUGUAGUAGGGAGUUAGAUGAUAAAGGCCCAUCUCUAAGCAUGUUUAUCAUGUUUGAUCCAUCAAAAUCUAGGAAGAUACCGAUUAUCAGGCUUUUCAUGUCUAAGAAGUUGGCCUCUUUUCAUUACUUGUAAUGAUUAUUUGUUUAGCAUACCAGUGAUGAGUUUAUCUGUGUUUUUCUUUAGAGACAUGUUUAAUGACUUUUGGAAUAAAUUAUGAAUCUAUUUUUCAUCGAGAGUGUCAAUUUAUGUAUUGUCAAUUAAAAUUAUUGUGGACUAACCUAUGAUGAGGCAACAAUUACCGUUAUCAAACAAAAUGGAGACUUUAGAUCUUAUAUUCUUAGUAAGGGUUAUUUGUUCUAAAAGUACAUUAGUUUUAAGGAAGAAAAAAAUUACAAAAUCUUAAAGUGCAGAAAAAUAAAUAAAGCAACAAGGAUAAAAUAUAAAUAAAUGAAAGUAAUAAAAACCCUUUAGAAAAAAAAACAAUAAUAAAUUUAAGGAAUGUAAAUAUGUAGGGGUGAUCAUCAUUUACAUUAUUAUCCGACCCUAUUUAUACUAUUACAAUGUUUGAAUCCUACUUAGAAAAGUAAUCCUAAUCCUAUACAUAUAUUGGUAUAAUAUAAAGAGGCUUAUUAAAUUCCUCUUCUAUUGAUCAUCCUUAGCUGAUUUUUGACUUCUGAUUAGUUAUUUUAAGGACCAAGAACUCUGAAUAUGACUAUAUCCUUUAGUUGUGCACACGUUCAAACCUUGUUGUUUGACUGCUUCUUUUUUUAUCUAUCAUGAUUUCUGAUCACAUAGUCAUUUGCUCCUUCAACUUUAAUAGUUGAUAAAAGACUCUUCUAGCUCGGUUGAUUUAGGUGUCUCAACAAACCCGGGUGAAACCCUACCUCUUUUUACCAUUUCUCUUUUAAAUGACACAUUUUGAAUUUGAAUAAAGGGACAAAAAUCUCCCACACGAGCAGCAACAUGCAAAAGAGAAUAAACAUGAACCUUUGCUCAUCUUCUCCUUUUUUCCUUCACCGAACAUGCUUCUUCUUUCUAACCCACUACUACUAAUGUAAUUGGGAAGCUCAUAAGAUACAAUUGCAUGGCUUGUAAAGGUGUUCUUGCUAAAUUCAAUCUGCAUUUCAUUGGAAAAGCUAACUAGAAGCAACUAAUUUUAGGGUGCUUGUAGGGAAGUUCUUGAUGAUUCAGACUGUGGAAAGUUGGAAUCAACUUACUACACAUCUACAUAAUUCCAGUAACAUUUUUAACUCUAGUAAUAGAUCAAGUUUGAUUUUGUUUUCAAUUCCUUGUUUUUUUUUAUUUAUAUUCAUUAAUUAAAGGAUUGACCUUGAUGUACAUAUUUUAUUUGAUUGCUCUGGACACAGUUCGAGCAUGUCUUUCCUUGGAUUUUUUCUAGUACUUGAAAUCUUAGGAGGUUCUCGUUUUCUUCUCUUUUGAUUUGCAAUUUUCAUAUAUCCCACUCUUUUGACACGUGAUUUUCAUAUAUCCCACUCUUUUGACACGUGAAGGUCUUUUAUUAAAGAUUGAUUUUUAAUACGUACACUAUUUUUGAAUUGUUGUGUUCAUGUUAUUUAUUAAAAUAUGUGAAUUUAAGCUUAUUUAGACCCCUUAUAUCUUCAUGGUUUUUUUAUAUGGCUUAUAAUGUUUUUUUAUGUAUAUAUAAUUUUCAUGGUUGACUUGAGUUGAAUCACCUAAUUCAUAACCUGAUUGUUGUGUCGAUUAAUCUCUAAAUGGGAUUUAAAAACUAUGUUUAUAACUCGAUCAAUUCUUUCACCAUUGAAUUGAGCUCUCUAUUCAAUGGUGCUUAUUCAAUGUUAUCCUUAUUUUUUAAUUUUUUGACUAAUAUUUUUUGUGUUCCUACCCCCACCUCGGUAGCAACGACAGCAACUGCCAUCAAGCAUCAGCAUCUCAUUGUCCACCAAAACAUCUCAUCCAGCCUCCUUCCUUUUUAGAAGCCGGAAUCACAACCGCGCCACUAAUAAUCGCAGCUGUUGCAAUCGACGAUACACGCUCCAAACAAGCCAAGAAUAUCUUGUCCACAGAAGCACAACAACGUGACGUGGAGCUAUAGUGGGUUUGAAAGAUGCAAAGGAGAGGAGUCGAAGGUUAUAAAAGUAAGAGUUUGGUAUAUUCUUGUCUUCUAACAAUACUAAUAUAGAUACGUGUAUAUGUAUGUUAUCUCUCUUUGCUUGCUUCUGCUGCUCUUUCUCUUGGUUUAUUCGGAAGAACUUAAAGAAUACUCUUCUUUUUCUUAAUCUUACAUGCUACUAUAACGCACAAAACAUUUCCAUGCAGAUUAACUGAAUCACUAAUGUGUUUAGUACAGAAUUGUCUUUUUCUUUUUUAUAGAAACCAAACAGACCGUUGUUUUAGGUUAACUUCAGCUAUAAGUUGUGUGACAGGAUGCAUACUCCUUGAUUUGUUCUUUUUAUUUUUAUUUUUUAUUUUUGGAUCAGUAGCUUUGCCCUUUUUUUUUUUUUCUUUCUGGGAGAUGUGGUAAAUUAGAUUUUGCAAGACCGCGUAUGGCUGGCACCAACAUGACCAAAAAGGGUCGCCGAAAAUGUACAUGAGAAGGGUGGGUUCAAUGUAGUAGUAGUUGAAGUGUCAAUAAUAAGAACAUAUAAGUUCAUAUGCUAUUAAUGUAGAUUUACUUAGUAUUUGGUACUGUGGUAAGGAUUAUUUUUUAAAUUGUUUUUUUUUAUGAAAAUGCAUCAAAAUAAUUUUUUAAUUAAUUUUUUAAAAUUUAUUUUUAACAUUAAGCAUAUCAAAAUAAUUUAAAAACAUAAAUUUUUUUUUUGAAAAAAACAUGGCCUAACACGUUGCCAAACAUACAUUUUAAGUGGUGGAACCUUGGAAAGAAGGGGUAUGGGUUGCUUUCAAGGGCCGAGUUGGUUGUUGAAGCCAUCUUGUUUGUUUGAAUCAACCAGCUUACCUUAGAAAGCACACAAGUCAUCAAACCCCUAACAAGAAAAUCUUCUGUUUUGUUUGUCGAGUCAGUGAAAAAUCAAUGGUUCUAAUCUAGCACUUGAAUACACAAUCUCAAGUUAGCAAAAUGGAAAUGCUUUGCACUUGAGAUUUAUUUGUCUUGUUCAUGUCCAUCAAAGUGCCAAUAUAAAUGAAAGAGGAUUUGAGAAAGCAUUCCGACAACACAAAUUCAGUUCACCUUGGAAUCACAACUUGAAAUACCAUUCAUUACUUGAAAAGUGAAUUGAAGGAUACAAAUGCAAGUUUUGAGUCAUGUGACUACCAUUAUCAAAUAAAAUGGAGACUUUAGAUCUCAUACUCUUAGUAAGGGUUAUUUAUUCUAAAAGCACAUAGUCAUUUGCUCCUUCAACUCUCAUAGUUGAUAAAAGACUCUUCUAGCCCGGUUAGACCUAGGUGACUCAUCAAACCCAAGUGAGACCCACCUCUUUUAACCAUUUCUCUUCUAAACAACACAUUUUGAAUUUGAAUAAAGGGAUAAAAAUCUAAAACACAAGCAGCAACAUGCAAAAAAGAAUAAACAUUCACCUUUCCUCAUUUUCUUCUUUUUCCUUCACCGAACAUGCUUCUUCUUUCUAACCCACUAAUACUGAUGUAAUUGGGAAGCUCAUAAGAUACAAUUGCAUGGCUUGUAACGGUGUUCUUGCUAAAUUUCUUCUACAUUUCAUUGUAAAAGCUAACUAGAAGCAACUAAUUUUAGGGUGCUCGUAGGGAAGUUUUUGAUGGCUCAGACUUUGGAAAGUUGGAGUCAACUUACUACACGUCUGCAGAAUUCUAGUAACCUUUUUAACUCUAAGAACAUAUCAGGUUUGGUUUUGUUUUCAAUUCCUUGUUUUUUCCUUAUUUAUAUUCAUUAAUUAAGGGAUUGACCUUGAUAUGCAUAUUUUAUCUAAUUGCUCUAGACAUAGUACAAUGAUGUCUAUUCUUGGAUUUUUUUUCUAAUACUUUAAAUCUUAGGAGGUUCUCGUUUUCUUUUCUCUUGAUUUGCAAUUUUCAUAUAUCCCACUUUUUUGACAUGUGAAGGUCUUUUAUUAAAGAUUGAUUUUUAAUGCAUACACUACUUUUAAAUUGUUAUAUGCAUGUUAUUUAUUAAGAUAUUUGAAUUUAAGCUUAUUUAGACCCACUAUAUCUUCAUGGUUUUCUUAUAUGGUUUAUAAUGUGUGUGUGUGUGUGUGUGUAAUUUGAGUUGAAUUACCCAACUCAUAACUUGACUAUUGUGUCAGCUGAUCCUGAGUUGUGUUUAAAAAUUAUACUUAUAACUCGAUUAAUUUUUUCAUCAUUGAUGACUUCAGCUCUUUGUUUGGUGAUGCUUAUUCAUUGUUAUCCUGUUUGUAUAUUUUAAAUAAAUAUAAAAAAUAAGCUGAAAAAAAUUGUUUAAUUCGUAUUUUUCAAUUUUUUGACUAAUAUUUUUUUGUGUUAUUUUACUCCGUCCAUUUUGUAAAAGAGAGAGAAAAAAGAAAGCACUUUCUAGCACUUUUUAGACAGGCGCCGCACAUCCUAAGAAAAGAAACUCACAAGGAAAAAAAAUCCAACCACCCCCCCACCGGCAACAACUGCCAUCAGCAUCUCACUGUCCACCAAAACAUCUCUUCCAGCCUUUUUCUCGUCCAGAAGCUGGAAUCACGAGUAACCACAGCUGCUGUAACCAACGACACGCACUCCAAACGAGCCAAAGAUAUCUUGUCCACAGAAGCACAAUAGUGUGACAGUGGAGCUAUAAUGGGUUUGAAAGACGCAAAGAAGAGGAGUCGAAGGUCAUAAAAGUAUUUAGUAUAUUCUUGUCUUCUAACAAUACUAAUAUAGGUUAGGUAUGUUAUCUCUCUUUGCUUGCUGCUCCUACAUGGUUUAUUUGGGAGAUAUUAAAGAAUGCUCUUCUUUUUAUGAAUCUUACAUGCUAGUAUAAAACACAAAACAUUUACAGGCAGAUUAACUGAAUCACUAAUGUGUUUAGUAUAGAAGACCGUUGUUUUAGGUUAACUUCAGCUGUAAGUUGUAUGACAUGAUGCGUACUUCUUGAUUUGUUCUUUUUAUUUUUUAUUUUUAUUUUUAUUUUUUCUUUUUGGAUCAGAGGCUUUGCCUCUUUUUUCUGGGAGAUAUGGUAAAUUAGAUUUUGCAAGACUGCAUAUGGCUGCCACCAACAUGACCAAAAAGGGUCACCGAAACUGUACAUGAGAAUGGUGGGUUCAAUGUAGUAAGAGGUCAAGUAUCAUUGAUAAGAACAUAUAAGUGGAGUCAGUGCGUUCAUAUGCUAUUAAUGUAGAUUUACGUUGUGUUAUUGUGAUAAGGAUUGCUUUUCAUAUUGUUUUUUGCUUGGAAAUACAUUAAAAUAAUGUUUUUUAUUUUUUAAAUUUAUUUUUAACAUCAGUACAUCAAAAUGAUCUAAAAACAAAAAAAAAUUAAAGAAUUUUCAUGGCCCAGCCGCGUUGCCAAACAUACAUUUAAGUGGUAGAACCUUGGAAAGAAGGGCUAUGGGUUUCUUUCAAGGCCCGAGUUGGUUUUUGAAGUCAUCUUGUCUGUUUGAAUCAACCGCUUACCUUAGAAAGCACACAAGUCAUCAAACCCCUAACAAGACAAUCUUCUGUUUUGUUUGUUGAGUCAAUAAAAAAUCAAUGGUUCUAAUCUAGCUUAUUAAUGAGCUGAAAAAUAGCUUAUUAAUGUUUUAUUUUUUUUUCAAGUUUAUUAAAAUAAUGGAAAACAAAUCUUAUAAAUUAAAAAGUUGAAUAAGAAUGAAAUUUUAAAAAAAUUCUAAUUUCAUAAAUUAUCUCAAAUAAAAUAAAUAAUAAUAUAAAUAAUUGAUAUCAAAUCUAAUAAAUAAAAAAAUUAAAAGAUGAUGAAAUUAAAAUAAUAAUAAUUACAAUUUCAUAAAUUAUUUUAAAUAAAAUAAGUAACAAUUAAAAGAAUGAGGACCAAAUUUGAUAAGCAAAAAUUUCAAUUAAAAAUAAUAAGAGAAGCAAAUAAUAAUUAUAAAAAUAAGAAAUAAAGUUAAUAUAAAAAUCAAAUUAAAUCAAUUUUAAGAGAUGAAAUUAAAAAAAAUUCAAAUAAAAUAUAUAUCAAUCAAAAGUUUAAGGAUCAAAUUUGAUAUAAUUAGCAAAUAAUAUGAUAUUUUUAAUUUUUUUAUAAUUUCUUGAAAAUAUUUUUAUUCAAAAUAAAAGAAAAAUAUUUUCUUGAAAAUUAAGUUAAACUUUACUUUAACUGGAAAAUAUUUUUUAUCCAUUAAAUUUUUCUAAUAACAAAUAAACUCAUGAAAAUUUAAAAAAUAAUAAAAACAUUUUCUGGGCAAACAAACACAACUGAAUCUUCAAGUAAAAGCAAAGAAAACCCCUCGAAACAAUGUGUAGCGGAACUCCCAUUUCCACCUUAUAAUUUAAAAAAGUUCGAGCUUGAAGCAUAAUCGCUAUAAACAUUAUAAGCUUUACGUCAACUUUUGUAAGUUGUGUUCUCUUAUUUUAUAUAAUCAUUACAAAUCAGAAGCUGAGUGGGUUUAGCUGUAUCGGAGUUUUUCUACAGAGACAUAAAUACAGUUUGGUUUUCGGGCAGCUGAAGAACACAAGAAUGGCAUCAACAGGGCAAUCGCAGUCACUAAAAAGAAGGGAUGCACCGGUAACAAGAGAAGGAGGGGAUCAGCUAACUCUAACCCCUUUAGGUGCUGGAAAUGAAGUGGGUCGAUCCUGUGUUUACAUGUCAUUUAAAGGCAAGACUGUACUGGUAUUGCUUCCCUCCAUCCUUCCCUCUAUGCAUUUUGUUGUUUUUCAAUUAUGCCAUUUUGUACUGAUUUACUAUUGGUAAUUUUUGUUUACGCUGGAUCAAAUUCAAUGACUAUAUUUUGUUUAUUAAUUUAUGUUUUUUUUGUCGAAUUAUGCCAAUGUUAGUUUGAUUAUGGAAUUCAUCCGGCUUAUUCGGGUAUGACUGCUUUGCCUUCGAUGAGAUUGACCCUUCCACUAUUGAUGUACUUCUCGUUACACAGUAUGUAUUUCAUCACCUUCUCUUGCUAAUUCUCCUUGCUUGCCUAUUGUAUAUAUGUAUAUUGAUUUUCCAUUCCAUGAGGCAAUAUUUUGUUUCUCACUAUUAGUUUCGUAAAUGCUAGUUUUUUCUCUCACUGAAUGCUCCUUUGAUUUGACCUUGCUUGCUUUCUUGUUUGUUCAUUUUCUUGUCAAAAGAAUACUUUGAAGAGAUAUCUCCUAUGAUGAUGUAGUAAGAUUGCAUGAAAUUUUUAGCUGCGAGAGAUCAACUUGUCCAAGGAAGAACAUGAAAUUGUUUCAGAAUUAGAGAACACUCAGCACAGAAGUCAGAUAUACAAAUAUUGAGAAAGUUAGUGUUAGGGUAUUUUGGUCUAAUAUUUGGGAAGAUUUUAUUGUGAAAAUACAAGUUGGGAAGGAGUUUAAAUAUUGUGAGAAAAACCGCAUGAUGCAGUUCCUUAGGUGCUUGAACUUGCAUUAUCAGGGCCAUUUGAUAGGCAAUGGCUAGGUUCCUCAUCAGUAGAAGUUAGCCAAGUCUGUUAUAAUGCUGGACUUGACAAUAAUAUAAAUUGAAACAGUGAAACUUAAACUUGAUGCUUUGUCAGCAAGAGAGGGCAGCCUGAACUUUCUUACCUCUAUAAAAAAUUAUCAAUAGUAUUCUUGAUGUGUGCUGGGAACUUUUUACUCUUAACUGGAUCUAUGCAGUUGUAGAGAAGUAUAGAUGUAAUGAGAUUUCUGAUAAAGUUUUGUUGGAAUUUAAAGUGUCAUAGACUCAUGAUAUCUAUAUUUUAAUUAUUCACAUGCUCCUUGUUGCAAGAAGAUGAGUGAUCUUCUAAGAAAUAGGUUUGUGCUCGUUAUAGAGAAAGAUAAGAAGCAGAUAAAAUGUAAUGACUCCACACACCUUUUCAUUUACAUUUGCAUGUAUAAAUACAGGAUUGAAGAGCUUAUUAAGCCUGAAGUUCUGCUAUUCUAUAACUGACUACAAGCUGUGAAUUAUGAGUUGUACAUGAUUCAAACAUUCAAAUUAAACGUAAAGAGUUGAUUCUGUUGGAUGAGGAUUUUAUGGAGGUGUUGAUGCUGUUAGAUGAGUAAUUUGUGGAAGAGUAAUGACUUUUCUUAUAUGCCCCCGCAAGAUGGAGGUACCAUCAGUAACACCAAUCUUGGAUCUUAAGGUUUGAAAACGGUGGCGUGGAAGAGGCUUCGUAAGUAAGUCUGCAAGUUGGUCUAAAGUGUGAACAUGAUUGACAGUAAUGCGACCUUUCUGGACAAGAUCACGAACAAAAAGAAGGUCGAUUUCGAUAUGUUUCAUGCGAGUGUUGUACUGGAUUUAAGCUGAAAUGAGUUGCACCAAUGUUAUCACAAAAAACUUGGGGAGGAUUUUGUAGAUGUAAGCCAAGUUCUGUGAUUAAGGAGUGAAGCCACACUGUUUCAGAAGUGGCAGCAGCUAAUGCACGAAAUUCAGCUUCUGUAGAGUAACGCGAUACAGCUCUUUGUUUGCGUGCAAACCAAGAAAUGGGAUUGGAGCCUAGAAAGGUGAUAAAUGCAGUGGUGGAGACCCUUGUAUCAGUGUUGGCAGCCCAUUCCGCAUCAACAAAGGUUUGUAGAUUGAAGGGGCUGCUCUGUUGAAUAAGAAUCCCAGGGAACAUUGUUUGCUUGAGAUACCUGAUAAUUCGUUUGGCUGCAGUCCAAUGACACGCUGUUGGUUUGUGCAUGAACUGGGAAAGCUGAUUCACUGCAAAGGCAAUGUCAGGUCUAGUCAGGCCAAGAUAUUGCAGUGCCCCAAUAACUCUUCUAUAUUCUGUGCUGUCUGCAGGGGCUGAACCAUCUGUUAAAAGCAGUGGUGUGCUGGUUGACAUUGGAGUGUGAAUGUCUUUGGUCAUAACCAUGGAGGUUUUAGAGAGUAAAUCUCGUAUGUAUUUAUGUUGUGAAAGGAAAAGGCCCUUGGCUGUAGGAAUAACUUCAAUGCCAAGAAAAAAAUGGAGAUGUCCCAUGUCUUUGACAGAGAAGGUGUGACCGAGUUUGUUGAUGAUAGCAGCUACAAAUGUGGAGACGUUUCCUGUGAUAAUAAUGUCAUCAACAUACACAAGACAAUAGCAUGAACACUGUUAGAGGCAUAGAUGAAUAAAGAAGUGUCCGUAGCUGAGUGAACAAAUCCAAAAUGCAAAAGAGCAUCCCAGAGAGCUUUGUACCACUGGCGGGGUGCCUGUUUCAGUCCAUAAAUACUUUUCUUCAGUUUACAAACAUAGUCAGGCUUUGAUGUAUCUUUGAAGCCUGGAGGUUGAUGCAUAAACAUUGUUUCUUCAAGAUUGCCAUGAAGAAAAGCAUUAUUAGGGACCAACCAUUCAUGACAGCAAUAGAGAGGAUUAAACGAAUUGUAGCUGGUUUGACAACUUGACUGAAUGUCUGGGAAUAAUCAAGACCUGGUCUUUGGCGGAAGCCUUUGGCGACUAGACGAGCUUUGUAUCUGCUGAUGGUUCCAUCAGGGUUUCUUUUCGUUCAAAAGACGAAUUUGCAGCCUAUAAGAUUUUGACUGUUUGCAGGAGGGACAAGUUCCCAAGUUGCAUGAUUAAGUAAUGCAGUGAUUUCUUCUGACAUGGCAUUGCGCCAGAGUGGAUUUUUAAGUGCUUGACUAACACAUAUUGGUUUAGGUGAUUCAGGUAAUGGAUGUGUGGUGGUGGUGUGAAGUUGUUUGGGAACAAAGAUGUUAUUCAUAGAUCGAGUGGUCAUGUUAUGUUGUCUUUGAGAAACAACAGGAGCUGGAAUAUUUACCUGAACCGUGGAGACUGUGUUGUAGUGUCUGAAUUGGAUGUAGAUAGAGAGAGCUCUUCUUGAGGGGCAGUGAAGACUGGUGCAGAGGGAGCUUGGUUGGUUGGUGUGACAAUCUGCAGCAAUGGUGUAGAGAGAGUAGGAGCAACAGGUAUGGAAGACUCAGAAGUGGACUGGUUGUUGAUGUUCUUUAGAGGAUAGAUAUUUUCAUCAAACGUAACAUGUCGUGAGACAUAUAAGCAUUGAGUAGGUAAGUGUAAGCAAAGAUAGGCACUCAGUGUAGUGGAAUAACCAAGAAACACACAGGGAACAGAUUUCGGCUGGAGCUUAUGUGUGUGGUAAGUUUUUAACCAGGGAAAACACAAGCAACCAAAUGAUCUGAGUUUGAGAUAAUUUGGAGCUUCUGUGAACAAGGUUUGAAAAGGGGAGCUGUGAUGAAGAAUAGGUGAGGGCAACCGAUUAAUUAGAUAGGUUGCCGUGGCAAACGCACAAGACCAAAAAUAGGAAGGAAGAUUGGCGUGACUGAGAAGUUGUUGCCUGUUUCUACUAUGUCUCUAUGGCGACGCUCUGAAACGCCAUUCUAUUGAGGAGUGUGUGGGGCUGUGGUGUAAUGGCUGAUGCCGUGAAAAGUAAGAAAUGGUUGAAGGGCGACAAAUUCUCCGCCAUUAUCAUAGUAGAGAGUUUUGAUAUUAGCAUUAAACCGAUUUUGAAUCAUUUUAUGAAAUUGAGGAAAAAUGAUUUUAACAUCAGAUUUGUUACGGAGUGGAAAAACCAGACAUAUUUUGUGAAGUGAUCAAUGAAGAUCACGUAAUAUUUAUGACCUUGAAUGCUGGUUUGUGGUGAUGGUCCCCAAACAUCGGUAUGUAUUUGAAGAAUUUUGAGAGAAGUUUUUCUCUUUUCUUAAUAUUACUAGCAGUAUGUUUGUACAAUAAAUAGGGAAGAGAAGCUAACCUACUAACCCUCAAAACAAGAAAUAAAUACUAGAUAGGAAAGUAUCCUACACUAAACUAGAAAGCAAUAAUCUAGAGAAUCUGGAUAGUUAAUACCAGAUUCUCUUUCCUAAACCAUAUAUACUAAGAUUUCUCUAAGAUCCUAACUGAUUUUGAGACUGAUUUCCACACUCCCCCUCAAGCUGGGUUGUAUAUGUUAUACAUGCCCAGCUUGUGACUCAAUUCUUCAAAAUUUGUUCUUGGUAGAGCUUUGGUGAGGAUGUCUGCAAUCUGAGAUCUUGUUGGAGUGUAGGUAAGGUGAACAAUGUUCUUCUUAAUUUUUUCUGUGAUGAAGUGUCGAUCUAUUUCAAUGUGCUUUGUCCUGUCAUGAUGAACAAUGUUCUGCUUGAUAGGUGUCAAUGAUUCCAAGCCAAGUUCUUUAAGUAAUCUUUGUAUCCACAUCCCUUCACAGAUACCAAGAGCUAGAGCUCUCAGCUCAGAUUCUGCACUGCUUCUAGAUACCACAUGUUGUUUCUUGCUUCUCCAAGUUACUAGAUUUCCCCAAACAUAGGAGCAAUAUCCAGAAGUAGAUCUCCUAUCUAUAAUGUUUCCUGCCCAGUCUGCAUCUGUGUAGAUUUCAAUAUUUCUGUUGUCAGAUUUCUUGUAUAGAAGGCCUCUACUAGGAGUCAUUUUUAGGUACCUCAAGAUUCUAUUAACUGCUGCCAUAUGAUCUUCUGUCGGGUUGUUCAUGAAUUGGCUUACAAAACUGACUGCAAAGCCAAUAUCAGGUCUGGUAUGUGAGAGAUAGAUGAGUCGACCCACAAGUCUUUGAUAUCUCCCCUUAUCCACUGGUAUACUAUCAUUUUAUGCUCCUAUCUUCUUUGUUGAAUCCAUUGGAGUGUCUGCAGGUUUGCAUCCAAGCAUUCCUGUUUCUUUUAGCAGAUCCAAGACAUAUUUUCGUUGUGAAACAUAUAUACCUUUCCUUGACAUUGCCACUUCCAUGCCAAGGAAGUAUUUGAGAUACCCAAGGUCUUUGAUCUCAAAUUCCUUGGCUAAGAGUUUCUUCAGUCUCACCAGUUCUUCCUCAUAAUCCCCAGUUAAGAUGAUGUCAUCCACAUGUAUAUUAGGAUUGCUAUUUCCUUUUCUGGAGAGGUUUUUACAAACAGUGUGUGGUCUGCUUGGCAUUAGGAAUAUCCAUAUUGUGCUACUGUCUUUGUAAAUCUGUCAAACCAUGCCCGAGGGGAUUGCUUGAGUCCAUAUAGUGAUUUUUUCAGUCUGCAUACUCUGUUGACAUUGGAGGAUGUUUCUAGUCCUGGAGGAAUCUCCAUGUAUACUUCUUCUUCCAAGUCUCCAUUAAGGAAAGCAUUUUUGAUGUCUAGUUGAUGUAAUGGCCAGUCUUGGUUAGCUGCUAGGGAUAGAAGCACUCUGAUUGUAUUAAGUUUGGCCACUAGAGCAAAUGUUUCUUGAUAAUCUAUUCCAUAGGACUGAGUAAACCCUUUUGCAACCAGACGAGCUUUUAACCUUUCAAUACUUCCAUCAGCCUUAUGUUUGAUAGUAAAUAACCAUUUACACCCAACUGGUUUCUUUCCAGGUGGAAGUUUAGAAAUUUUCCAAGUUCUAUUCUUGUUUAAGGCACUGAUUUCAUCACUCACUGCCUUUCUCCACCCUGAAUCUUUGAGAGCUUCUUCAAUAGACUUAGGAAUCUGUACACUGUCAAUGGCUGAAACAAAUGCAUGAUAGGUUGGUGAUAACCCUUCAUAUGAAACAAAUUUGCUGAUGGGAUGACUUGUGCAUGAUCUAACACCCUUUCUCAAAGCAAUUGGAAUAUUUGAAUCAUCAAUAACAGAGGCAGUAUUCUCACAGUCAGAAGUUUCCAUACCUGAGUAUAUUGGGGCAGAAUCUGGACUUGGUUCUGAAUCUUGGUCAUGUGCAAGAGGUAUUGUGUGCUCUAUCUCCUUUCCAAGUUUUUUCCUUCUAGAAUAAGUAAGAAGCUCAUGAUUUGUGAUCUGUUUUGGUGUAGGAUGAAUCUGGUCAGGAGAUUGGACUGAAGCUGGUGGUGCUGGGACUGAUUGGAUUGAGGCUGGAGGUGUAGUGUAAGGACUCAAAUGACUUUGGACAAGAAUCUGUUAGUUGUCUCCUGAGUUAAUUACAUGAUCAGAUUGUAUAUCCCAAUUCUGAUAUUCUCUCAUGGUUGCCCCCUAAAGAUCAGACUUGGGAUAGUAUGCUUGGUGUUCAAAAAAUGUGACAUCCAUAGAGGUAUAGACCUUUUUGAGAACAGGAGAAUAACAUUUAUAACCCUUUUGGUGUGGAGAGUAUCCUAUAAAAAUGCACUUAAGAGAGGUAGGGUCUAAUUUUCCUCUAUGGUGUAUAUGAACAAACACUGAGCAGCCAAAUACUUUAGGGUCUAAGGAAGGGAGUAGUUUGGUGUGUGGAAAGGCUUGUAAAAGGACUUGGCUGGGAGUUCUGAAGCUUAGAACUCUGGAAGGCAUUCUGUUGAUGAGAUAAGUUGCUGUGAGUACAGCUUCUCCCCAGAAUUGUUUUGGCACAUGAGUAGAGAGCAUAAGGGAUCUAGCAACUUCCAACAGAUGUCUAUUCUUCCUUUCAGCCACUCCAUUUUGUUGUGGAGUGUUAACACAAGAGCUUAUAUGGAUAAUGUCUUGAUUUAGACAAUAGGUAUUAAGGCUAGAAUUGAAAUAUUCUUUGGCAUUAUAAGUUUUUAGGAUUUGGAUUUUAGUCUGGAAUUGGGUUUGUAUCAUGGCAUGGAAGUUUUGGAAAAUCUGGCUGACUUCAGAUUUUUCUUUCAUAAGGAAUAACCAAGUCAAUCUAGUGUGAUCAUCAACAAAGGAGACAAACCACCGAGUUCCAGUUAUAUUGUGCACUUGUGAGGGGCCCCAUACAUCACUAUGAAUCAUUGUAAAUGGAUGUGAUGGUUUAUAUGAAAUGGUGGGAUAGCUACUGCGAACAUGUUUAGAGAGUUGACAUAUUUCACAUUUGAAGGAUUGUGAGCUUUUAUUGGAAAAGAAGGAUGGAAACAACUUUUCAAGGUACAUGAAGUUUGGAUGACCAAGACGAUAGUGUCAUAACAGAACUUCACUAUCUUUAUUGACAUGAAAAUUUAAAGCUAAUUGACCCUUGGAUGAUACAUAGCUUCUGUUUUGAGUUUGCUUUAGAGGAAUCUCACUUUUGAGCAGAUAGAGCCCAGAACACAUUUUAGCACUGCCAAUCUUCUUCCCCAUAUCCAAAUCCUGAAAUAUACACAAAUGAGGAAAGAAUUUAGCAACACAAUUCAGGUCACGAGUCAAUUUGCUAAUUGAGAGUAGGUUGCAGUCUAGGUUAGGAACAUGGAGAAUAGAGUUUAGGAUCAUGUCCCUUGAGAGUCUACUCAUCCCUAUUCCCUUUACUUGGGAGGAAGACCCAUCAGCUAUACGGACUGUAGAAUUAUUAGUGCACUGAUUGUAUUCAUUAAGAAGAGUGGCAUCUCCUGUCAUAUGGUCUGAUGCUCCGGAGUCGAUGAUCCAAGGGCUUGAGUGUUUCUUACUAACAGUAAGGGCUAUUGAAAAUUUACCUUUUUGUGCUGACAGACCAGAUCCAGAACCAGGGCUGACAUACUUGGUUGAGACUGUGAAUUCUGACUGAAGAGUUUCUGUAAGAUCUCAAGUUGUUCCUUGCUGAAAGGACUUGUUUUUGUUGGCAGAAUGGUGUUCUUAUCUCGGUUGUUAUCUGAGAUAACAUUGUGGGCACGUCUGUCUUUGUCAUUUAUUGAUUUUGAUGGUUUCCAAUCAGCAGGUUUGCCAUGAAUCUUCCAACAGUUUUCCUUGACAUGUCCUGGUUUGUUGCAGUGAUCACACCAGGGUCUUCCUUUCCUCUGUCGGUUAUCAUAGUUGCUGUUUGAAUAGCCUCGAGCAGCAAGGGCAGAUCCUUCCAUUAUAUGAGCUGAGUUGUGAGGUCCCAUCAUUACUUUCUUUCUACUUUCUUCACGUCUAACCUCAGAGAAUGCUUCUCUGAGAUUUGGAAGAGGUUUGGUUCCCAUUAUUCUUCCUCUUACUUCAUCAAGGUUCUUGUUGAGCCCAAGAAGAAAUUUAAAAGUUCUUUUCUGCUCAACAAUUCUUCUAUAUAGGACUGUGUCUUCAGGGCAAUUCCAGCUGUGAAUUUCAAACAUAUCUAGGUGCUGCCAAUGACGGCAGAGAGUGUUGAAGUAUUGAGUAAUAGAAAGUUUUCUUUGGCGUAGAUCAUGUAACACUGCCUCAAUCUCAAAUAGUUCUGAUGUAUUUUCAGAACUUAAGUAGGUUUCUCUUGCUGCUUCCCAGAUUUCCUUUGUUGUUCCAUAUAGGAGAAAAUUUUCUCCAAUUUCAUUGGUCAUUGAAUUGAUCAGCCAUGACAUUACCAUAUGAUUUUCAGUCUUCCAUGUUCGGAACAUGGGAUCAUUCUUUUCUAGUAUGAUGAUAUCCCCUGUGAGGUAGUCAUCUCUGCCCUUUCCACAAAUAAAAAUCAUGACUGAUGAUGACCAUUGAAGAUAAUUAUAUCCAUUGAGUUUGUGUCCUGUGAUUUGGUGUGAUGUGCCUUCAGUGCCUCCUGAAAGGCUACCAUGAGAGGUUGUUCCUAGCUGUGAGGUCACCUCAGAGAGAGAGCUUUGUCCUGCUGCUGCCAUGCCUUGGAGAAACAGAUUAGGGUUCAAGAGUAGGCUCUAAUACCAUGAAGAAUUUUGAGAGAAGUCUUUCUCUUUUCUUAAUAUUACUAGCAGUAUGUUUGUACAAUAAAUAGGGAAGAGAAGCUAACCUACUAACCCUCAAAACAAGAAAUAAAUACUAGAUAGGAAAGUAUUCUACACUAAACUAGAAAGCAAUAAUCUAGAGAAUCUGGAUAGUUAAUACCAGAUUCUCUUUCCUAAACCAUAUAUACUAAGAUUUCUCUAAGAUCCUAACUGAUUUUGAGACUGAUUUCCACAAUAUUAAAUUAAAAGGAGCAGAGCUAGUGAGGCCAUGUUUAUGAAAAGGCAGACGAUGAGAUUUAUUGAUAGAACAGGAAUCACAAACAUGAGAUAUAGAGGAAUUGCUGGAAAUUGGAAGAGAGAAGGAGGUGAUCAUUCUGGCUACAACUUUGGAGGAAGGAUGGCCUAGGCGUUGAUGCCAGCCAUUUAUGGAUGUGCGUUCAUGGACCAUUGCAAUGGGAGUGGAGGCACGGAGAUGAGGUAGAGGAUAAACACCAUUCUCACACGGUCCUUGAAGAAGAGUCUCUCUCGUCCGCUGAUCCUUGAUAAAAAAACAAGAGGGAUGAAAUUCAAGAAACACAUUGUUGUGUUUGGUAAAAUGAUGUACUGAAAUCAAAUUUUGAUUGAUGGUGGGAACAUUAAGAGUGUCUUGAAUUUGGAAAGUGUGUUUAGGAAAAGGAAGAGUAAGAGAACCUGAGUGGGUUAUUUUCAAACCUGAACCAUCUCCAAUGAGCACUUCAUCUGUGCCAUCAUAUUCAGAAUGUAAGUGCAGAUUGGAUACUUAAGAGGUGAUGUUAUGGGAUGCAGCAGAGUCAAUGAGCCAGCGCUGAUCUGGACUGGGAGAAGCAGUGGUGCAGUUAGCUGUAGCCUUCCUAGUGUGUAACUGAGGACAGUAUUUGGCAACAUGGCCAAGUUGAUCACAUUGUUGGCAUUUGGGGGUAUAUUUUUGCUGCCUAAAAUAGCGGGGUUGAGAUUUGGAAUCAUAUUUCUGUGUGGCUGCAUUCAGAGAUGACCAUGGUUGUCUUUUUGAAAAACGAUGAUCCUUGCGCUGAGUAUUGUGUGCUGUGACAACCAGGGAAGGAGGAUUAAUGUCCAGGCGUUUGAGAUAAGACUCAUGACCAAUGGGAAGAUCAUGAAGUUCUUCAAAUGAUAAAGCAGAUUCGUGUGCACGAAUGGGGGCUACCAUUUCUCUAUAUUCAGGACCUAAGCCAUUGAGAACAUAGAGAGUAAUGUCAUCAGCAGAGAGAGGAGCAUCAAUGAGAGCAAACUCAUCUGCAAUAGACUUGAUAGAAUAAAGAAAUUCUGUGACAGUGCAUGUUCCACACUGAAGAAGAGUGAGAUCCUCUUUGAAUUGCAUGACUCGUGUUCUAGAACGACUAGCAUAAAGCUUGGUCAGUUUGUUCCAGGCUUGAGAGGAUGUUUUGGAAGCAGCUAUGAAAGGUAUCACAAAAUCAGACACCGAAGUAAGGGUAGCAUUUAAAAUUAAUUUGUCCUGUUGAAACCAGUGAGUAUAGGCAGCAGUAGGUGCUGCAUCAGGGUUCGUGGACGAGGGGCAUGUGAGUGUACCAUCGAUAUAACCAUAUAGGUUGUAGCCGAGAAGGAGGGACUUAAACUGUGCAUGCCAAGAGGGAUAAUUGGUUGGUGUGAGUCGGGUAGUGAUCUGCUGGGUGGUGUUAAUAGCAACAGGGGAAGGAGUUGAGGAGGCCAUUGCAGAAGCGAAGAAGAAGAAAAAAAAAUCAAAGGGAAACUCGUUGGAGAAAAGAGGGCUCUGAUACCAUAUAGAGAAAGAUAAGAAGCAGAUAAAACGUAAUGACUCCACACUUUUUCAUUUAUAUUUGCAUGUAUAAAUACAGGAUUGAAGAGCUUAUUAAGCCUGAAGUUCUGCUGUUCUAUAACUGACUACAAGCUGUGAAUUAUGAGUUGUACAUGAUUCAAACAUUCAAAUUAAACGUAAGGAGUUGAUUCUGUUGGAUGAGGAUUUUAUGGAGGAGCUGAUGUUGUUGGAUGAGUAAUUUGUGGAAGAGUAAUGACUUUCCUUAUACUCGUGAGGUUUAUUGCUUAUGAUGGGAACCAUAAUAGAACAGUGCUGAAAAUGCAUGCAAUUGGGGAGUGAAAGCAAUCCAUUUUCCGGCUGAAGAAAUCAUUUAGGAAAAUCUUGAUUAUCUAUGCUAUAUUAUAAUAUAUAUAUUCUUUUUUUAAUGUGAUUAAAUAUCAUAAAGUGUUCAACAAGAAAGCAAAACAAUAAAAGAAUAUGAAUUCUUUCUACUAAUUAAUUAUGUUGAAUAUUAGUGUGAUUGCAUAUUAUGCAAUGAUUCAAAAAAUGAAAAUAUUGAAAAAUCAUUGUAUCACAUUGGUUGGGAAAUAAAUAUGCUCCAUUUGCUGAAAUUUCAUUUAAGGUGUCAGGAAACUCUAGUUAGUUUCUUUCUUUUUUUUUUUUUUUUUUUGAGAAUUCUUUCUGUUACAUUAAUGAAGUCAUAAGGGCCUCUUGGAAUUUUUUUUAAACAAAUAAAAUCAAUAUUGUGUUUUCUAUAUUUGUUCAAUUUAGUUUUUGUUAUCUAUCGUUACUUUUUCAAUCAAAAUUUUUAGUCCUCUCUAGUUUUUUCUUAUCAAUCAUUGGGAGUGAUGCUUUCUGCUUGCAGCUUUCACUUGGAUCAUGCUGCAUCCCUACCUUAUUUUCUUGAGAAGGUUUGUUUUUUUACUGAUUUCUACAAAGUUAUUGUAUCUUUCACUAGGAUCAAUCUAAAAUGUUCACUCUUUAUCAGACCACAUUCAGAGGUCGAGUUUUCAUGACUCAUGCGACAAAGGCUAUCUUCAAGUUGCUUUUGACUAAUUAUGUAAAAGUGAGCAAAGUUUCAGUGGAAGAUAUGCUGUUUGAUGAGAAAGACAUAAACCGCUCAAUGGAUAAAAUCGAGGUCUGUGUUUAUGAAUUCUUGCAUUCUUUUGUUUACAUCUAUCCGCAACCUUUUUGUUCUCCCAGAAACUUGAUCCACUUCGUUUACCUUCCAUCCAAGCAAUAGCUUGGAAAUAUUUUUGUUUAUUAUAUUUGGCUUGGCAUUAUAUUGUGGUCCCAAAGUCAGGGGCCCAGGAAUUCAGCUUAUUGGUUAUUCUUCUUUAUCACCUCCUAUCCAUGUUGAGUUAAUUGCUCUAGAUGAAAGGUCUGCUAUUGUCUUCUGGAAUUUAAAGUGUUUCAAUCUUGCAUUUGAUGUUGUGAAUUUUGCUCUCUAUGGAUUUCUUAGCUUUCAGUCUGUUUGAGUUUGGCAUUGUUAGUUGUUGGCUUCUCAUUGGAGGCUUGUAUGUUUCGCAUGGAAACUUAGGACCAAUUUAUAUGCAUCUGAUAAUUAAGUUAUGCCUUUCUUUUUCCAGUAGUGAUCAAUCUACCACACUUAAGUUGCAUUUGGAAUAUUGCCUGAUUAAUCAAAGAGCAUAUUCAAGUAGUUGUGGUUGACUGCCAUGUAUCUUUUUUGAACUAUGACAGUUUGGGUCAUAAUAUAGCGAGUGUCAUCUCACUCUUUAUCUUCCUGCACAUGUAAGAUUUUAGUGAUUAGUAAUAAGAUAACGGUAAUUCAACAACAACAAAAAAAAGAGAGAGGAUAUCUAUGGAGCUAAUUCAAUGCGAGGAUUUCUUUUUUCUUUUGAUUUUAUUUCCAUCCUUGUAGCACAAUCACGAUCCAUGAGUGCAAGUGGUCAAAACAUUGAGAGAUUGCAGAGGGAAAGAGAGGAUAUCUCUUUUAUAUAUUUUUCUUUUCAUACAUGGACUGUUAGGGUGUGUUUGAGAUUGUAGUAGCGGUGGCGGUUCAAAGUGUUUUUCGUAUAGAAAUACAUCAGAGUAAAGUUUUUUUAUUUUUUAAAAAUUAUUUUUGACAUCAGCACAUCAAAACGAUCUGAAAAUACAAAAAAAAAAUUUAAGCAAAAAAAAAAGAAAACAAAAAUUUUCAAAAUUCAAGGGAACGCGGUUUGCACGUUCCCAUGUCAAGGUUGGGUGCAUGUGUUUGCAUUUUUGUCUUUUUUUGUGAGCAGAUCUGCUGGUGUUUGCCAGGUCCUAUUUUCCUUAUGAUGGCCUAGCUUGUAAUGUUCCUUUGUCAUCCUCUGUUUAACUUAAGAAUCCUUAAUUUCAUUAAUGAUUUUUGUAAUUGCAGGUUAUUGACUUCCAUCAGACUGUGGAUGUUAAUGGCAUUAAAUUUUGGUGCUACACUGCUGGCCAUGUCCUUGGUGCUGCCAUGUUCAUGGUAGAUAUUGCCGGUGUUCGAGUGCUCUAUACUGGAGACUAUUCACGUGAAGAAGAUCGGCAUCUUUGUGCUGCUGAGAUGCCACAAUUCUCUCCUGACAUAUGCAUAAUUGAAUCUACCUAUGGUGUCCAACUCCAUCAACCUCGACACCUUAGGGAGAAGCGCUUCACUGAUGUUAUCCAUUCCACCAUCUCUCUAGGCGGUCGUGUUCUAAUUCCAGCAUUUGCCCUCGGCCGAGCUCAAGAACUCCUUUUGAUCCUUGAUGAGUAUUGGUCAAACCAUCCUGAGCUUCAUAACAUUCCCAUAUAUUAUGCUUCUCCCCUUGCGAAAAAGUGUAUGACUGUUUACCAGACAUACAUCCUUUCUAUGAAUGAAAGGAUCCGCAAUCAGUUUGCGAAUUCAAACCCCUUCAAAUUCAAGCAUAUAUCACCGUUGAAUAGCAUUGAAGAUUUUACUGAUGUAGGGCCAUCUGUGGUUAUGGCAAGUCCUAGUGGACUUCAGAGCGGUUUGUCAAGGCAGUUGUUUGAUAUGUGGUGCUCUGAUAAGAAAAAUGCUUGUGUUAUACCUGGAUAUGUUGUUGAAGGGACCCUAGCUAAGACAAUCAUUAAUGAACCAAAGGAGGUACAGCUCAUGAAUGGACUGACUGCACCACUCAACAUGCAGGUCCAUUACAUCUCAUUCUCUGCACAUGCAGAUUAUGCUCAGACAAGUACAUUUUUGAAAGAGCUCAUGCCUCCUAACAUUAUUCUAGUUCAUGGAGAAGCCAAUGAAAUGGGAAGGCUCAAACAGAAACUUAUCACACAGUUUACUGACGGCAACACCAAGAUAAUCACCCCAAAGAAUUGUCAGUCUGUUGAGAUAUAUUUCAACUCUGAAAAAAUGGCAAAAACCAUUGGAAAGCUGGCUGAAAGGACCUCGAAUGUUGGUGAAACUGUCAGUGGUAUACUGGUGAAGAAGGGCUUCACUUAUCAAAUCAUGGCACCUGGAGAUCUCCAUGUCUUCUCACAACUAUCAACUGGAAAUAUUACUCAGAGGAUUACCAUUCCUUUUUCUGGUGCAUUUGGUGUGAUAAAGCACAGGCUUGAGCAGAUUUAUGAGAGUGUGGAGUCUGGAACUUA
RNAcentral lists this long non-coding RNA (49982 nucleotides) under Populus trichocarpa (black cottonwood). RNAcentral describes it as "long non-coding RNA (PTRI_LNC003823)". The record is from RNAcentral. Lineage: Eukaryota; Viridiplantae; Streptophyta; Magnoliopsida; Malpighiales; Salicaceae.